UUUUUUUUCCUGUUUUUUGGAUUUUGGAUGUGCAGUGCACCCAGAUCACGCGAGCAGUGCACGCGGAUCACACGAGCAGUUAAUUGCAGCGUGAUUAUAGUUUUGGUGGCGCGGGUAGCAUUUUUUCUUUUAUUUUUAUAGAAAAAAGUUUCAUCUAGUUAGCCUUUUUUUAUUUUGAAUAUGUAGUUCAGUGGCAUGGUGUAGUUUGCAGGUGCAGUACGCCGCUUGGGUGUGAUCUAACACAUCACGGCUAGUCCUCAAUUGCUGUUCGGCUGGUGACAUUGUGGAUUUUGUGUGUAUGGUUGUGUGUGGCUGUUUAAAAAUAAUGAAAAUAUAUAGAGUAAAUGUUUUGAAAAUCACUUUGUUCUCCCGCGUGGUUCACUAUAAUAAAACUCCUCCAUUGUUCACUAUAUCAAAUGCAACGCGGCAGUGUGUUUGGCCCUCUGAUGUGGUUCACUUUUGAGAGUGAUGGUGUUCACUUGUGCCCAACAUGAAAAAAUGCGAAAAAAUUAAUGAAACAACAAUAGUAAUGCGGUUCACUUCGAUAUAUGAUGUGGUUCGCUUGCCCUAGUCUUCGCGGUCCACUCUCUUUAAUAAUUUUUUUGAAAAAAAGACAACAAAAAUUCGUCUGAGAAAAAAUUUACAUCCGGCAAAAGAAAUCAUGAAGUGCGCUUGCUCGUCCGAUGCAGUGCGGUUUUUCGUCUGAAGCAGUGCACUCCAUCUCGUUUGGGAAAACUUACGUCCCACAAAAAAGAAAUCAUGUAGUUCACUUGUCUGUCCGAUGAAGUGCGCUUUUUAGUCUGAAGUAGUGCACUCCACCUCGUUUGGAAAAAUUUACGUCCCACAAAAAAGAAAUCAUGUGGUGCACUUGUCUGUCCAAUGAAGUGUGGUUUUUAGUCUAAAUAAGUGUGGUUUUCUGUCUGAUGCAGUACGACCCGUUUAUGGUAGUCUCGAGGUUCAAUUUUCAUAGUAUUACGGUUCACCAAACACUGGACAUGAAAGUGCACUCCACCUCGUUUAGGAAAAUUUACGUCCCACAAAAAAGAAAUCAUGCAGUGCACUUAUUUGUCCGAUGAAGUAUAGUUUUUAGUCUAAAAGAAGUGUGGUUUUCUGUCUGAUGCAGUACAUACGACGAUUUUGGUGUUCCGAAAAAACAGAGUGUUCGCAUUUCGUUAAAAUCAAAAUUGCUUCUAAACCGUACGGAAUCGGGGAGAGUGUUCUAUAUAAAAAAGUUGCGCCUCAUCGAUAUCUUUCCAACGACGUAUAAUUUGAAUCAUUUCGACCAGCAGUUUGUAAAAAUUUCACGAAAAACGGCCGCUACCUCUCAUCGUCAGCCGCACAAUUUUUAAAAUUAACUAAAAAUUGUAAGGAAUCUGAAAAACAUUUUAACAUACAAAAGUUGCGCCUCGUCUGUAGCUUUCUAACGACGUAUCAUACGCCCCAUUUCGACAAACGAUUAGAAAACUAGAGUAAAAACAGUACCGAAAAUUUAAAUUUUCUUGAAAAACAAAAUUCCGCGAUUUAGUAAAUUUGAAACUACUCUUAAACCGUAACGAAAUAGAGAAAAUAAUACAUAUGAAAAAGAUGCGCCUCGAUGAUAUCUUUCCAAUGGUGUAUCAUUUGCUUUGUCCUGACGAGCGGUUUAGAAGAAAUCGCGAAAAAACGCUCGCUGACACUCGUCAUGGGCCGCACCAUUUUUAAAACUGCUCUUAAACCGUGUUGAUUCUCGAAAAGUGUUCAACAUGUCGAAGUUGCGCCUAAUCCAUAGCUUUUCAACUAUAUAUUAGACGCCUCGUUCCGAUAAACGGUUAAAAAAACUAGAGUGAAAACAGUACCAAAAACAACGCGUGCAGUGCGGAAGUGUUAUCAGAAUAGUUAUUCUGCUAAUAUUAGCAGAAUAGUUAGUAUAUAUAUAUCGAAAAAUGGUUGUGUAUUCCUGGGAGUACGUACUCCCGCUCCUUAUACCACAUAGAUAAAUCUUUUAUACCUCUUUAUUAUUUUUAAAAUAUUUCACUAGUAAUUAUUAGAUAUCCCAAAAUGAGUUUUAUGAAAAAAUUCAUGUGAGUCUACAUAUUUUUAAAUAUUUACGUAUAUACUAAUGUGUUUGUACGUGAAAAAGGUAUAUUACAAAAAGUACGUCAUAGAUGAUAUUUUUUUAGCAAAACUCAUAUUGGGGUAUCUUAGAAUAUUAAAUGAAGUAUAUUGAAAACAAUAAAAAGGUAUAAUUAAUGUGUAUAUGAGAUGUAUUGAGGGUGGGAGUACAUACUUCCAGGAUUACAGAAAAGGAGUCAUAUAUAUAUAUAUAUAUAUAUAUAUAUAUAUAUAUAUAUAUAUAUAUUAGCAGGCACCUAAGUGCCCAGGCACCUUGCCUAGAUGCCGUUAGAUCGAAUCGUAGCAUCUUUUUUAUUAUGUAUAGAUGAGUUAUUGGGUCUGACCCGUUAACAAAUAGGUUAAUAUUUUGAAUUAUAUCUCAUCGUUUAAGAAAUAAGUUUCCAUUUGUGUGUUUGUCAUCCAUACCCCGUUCGAACAUUCCAAAAGUAAUUGAUAUCUGCCAAUUGAAUAUCUUACAAAGAAUUUUGCAUGGCGUGGACAUUAUGGAAAGGGUAUAUGAUGGCAAUGAAAUACAUUCCAAUGAUGUGGAUGUCAUCAACAGGACAUUGUUUGAACAAAUCAAGCCGAUGAAAAUAAUUUUCCAUCAUACCUUCCAAAUAAUUUUGCAUGGCGUGUCAAUUAUGGAAAGGUAUAACUAGUUAAUUAAAUACCAUGCAAAGAUGCGCGUGUAAUUAAUGGUCCAUUGUUUGAACAUUUCGAAUUGAAAUGAUUUUCCAUACUUACUGACAUGUAUGAUAGGCACAAGUUAAAAUAUAAAGGUAUUUCAUAAUUACGAAUUUCUGUAAAACAAUCAUCAUUUGUUGAAUGUUAUUUAUUUUAUUAGUAUUGGUCAUGUAGGUAUAUACCUAUAAUAAAAAAAUAUCUCCCCACAAAAUAAAUUUUAAAAAAUAUCUCUACAUUUGUUAGUCUGGUCGUGUGGGUAUGUACCUAUGAUUGGUGCAAAUUAAAAUGUAAAGUUAUUUUAUCAUUAUGAUUUUUGUAAAAAAUAAUUAAUCAUUGAAUGUCAUUUAUUCUAUAGAUGUGGGUAUAUCAUAAAGAUGAUCUUUAAUUGCACUAGUGGCUAAAUCUUUAGGGUAUAUUAAAAAAAUUAUUCCUUAUGGUAGUUUUGAGUUUGGAGUAGAGAAAAUGAUUAGGAAAUGUGAAAUAUAAAUUUUACUGGAUGGAAUAAGACAAGCACUACCGAGAUCACAGAUACUCGGCAAGGAAAAAGGAUGAUACUCGGUGAAAUGCAAGUUCACCAAGUUCCUGCUGGCUGGGUAUUAAACUCAAAACACUUGGCAAAAGGAUGACACUCGACUAACAUGAUCUUUGCAUAGUGUUACACAAAAAGGAAAUGCAUGUGAAAUCCUAAAGAUCUUUGUGGCGCUGUUAUUAUUAAGUAGCAACAGUGUGUCUUCUUAGGUAUACACUGCCUAGUGUUUUAGUACGUACCAUUUUAUAUGUUUUCUUUUGAUUGUGCAUGACUAAUUGCUCCGCAAUAAAUUGAUUCCUACCACAUCAAUUAGAUAUUUUCUAGGAAAUCAAUGUGUGAUUAAAUGUUAUAUAAUUCUUGUGUUGAUGUUAGUUUAUAUUGACGUGGCCAAUACCAUAUAAGAUCUAAUUUUUUCUGCAAGGAAUAUAAUAUAUUCUUUAGUUAGAUUAGUGGUUAUAUCUCUAGGGUAUAUGCAAAAAUAGUUGUGAUAUACAUAUGGCGAAUCUAGUACGACGCCCAUUUGACACACUACCAGCACCAUCCAACUCAUUUAGCAAAAAACUUUGUGUCCAUUCGAUCCAUGUAUCAUAUACAUGUAAAUACAAAUCUUAUUGGACGCAGAGCCAUUCCGAUGGAAAAGAAAAAUAGAGUAGGGAAUCAUAAAGAUCAUUAUCGUAAUUCUAAUAAAAUGGAACCAUAUAUCUGCUCGUGUACAUUAUUGUCAAUUUUGGAUGAAAGCAAGCUUUACAAAAUUACGUUGGGUGAAUAACUAAAGAUCACCACAGGUGGAAGUAUUAUACACCCAUAGGUUGUGCUAUGUGGGUAGGCAUUGUUUAAUAAUUUGCAUGGUGUUGUGUAGGUAUCUCUCGACGAUAAUCAUUUAAAAUUGGAGGUAUCUAAUAUCUAUUACUAUGAAACAACCAUGCAGGUAUGCAUCUUGUGUACUACAUACUCACAAAAUUUGGUGGAUUAUAAGUUGAAUAUAUGAACUUAGGGAUGUCAUAGUAAGAUUGUUGGUAUAUGCCUUUUAAAUUUUUACAAAAAAUUCUACAUAUGUCAAUUAUGGUCGGGUGCACAUAAGGAAAAACUAAAUACCCCGCAAAAAAAAGAAAAAGUAAAUAAUGCAGUGUAGUGUGAUGAUGGCGUAUAAUAAUAUAUGGCGCACCAAUUUGUUCUCACUAUAUAGCUUGGUCGUGGGUACCAGAUAUACCCAAAUGAAAGUAAAAGUAAAAUCCAUAAUUAGAUGGUAUUUUCUCUACUACAUUUCAUUGUUGUGUAUGAGAUACCCAUGAAAAAUAAGCCGUACGAAAAUGCGGUACAUCCAUACUGUUUUAGGAAAUUGAAAAGACUUUGUACCAGUGUGUCAGUGUACAAGAUACCUAUAGAAUACCCAACAAGUAACUUUUUAUCAUUAUUAGGAGACUUUGAGUAUGGUCGUUGGGCAUAUGACACUGUGGGUAUCACACAUUAGCUAUAUGACACCAUGUGUAUCUAAUACAGGCAACUGAUACCUAUUGUAUUAAAAUUUGAAUAGGUUAGGGAGUGUACAACUAUACUUUUAGGCCUUAUGCCACAUCGGUGGGUAUCCAAUUUCUUGGAAAAAUGGUUGUAAUAAAAUGUGAUUUGCCAUUUCUGUUACAAAAUUUAGAAAGUAGAAUACGGUGUGAUGGUUAGGUAUUAGGUUGUGCAACUAUAUCUGUCUGACACGGGUACCAUCAUGCUCUAUAUAUAUCCUGGAAAUAGUACCCAAAAUCAGUAUGGUAAUUUUCUUAAUAUAUGGUCCCUUUUAUAUAUCCUGAACAAAAGUAUGACAAUAUGACUCAUUUUAAUAUUCAAAAUUUUAAAAAUACCUGGGAGUGUUGCCCAAAAUGUGUGUCAUUACAACCCAAAUUACAUGUUCCAGCACACAAUUAGAGAUAAAAGAUAAAAGGAGAUCACUUAUCAUUUGAUACACAUGUAUAUCUUAAAUCCUAUUCGCAACCAUAUUACAUCCCGAUUUUGAUGACUAAUAUUUGCUAUCACACUCGAAAUUGCAACUACAGAUGCAGGAUCAAAAACGAAGAAGUAUACAAUUAAGUCGCAUGUAUCAUCAUUCGCUUCUCUCGCAUACUGAUUGUGUCCGACAUUGUCACGCAAAGCCUUCAUUGUCAACCAUCCAGCACAUCUCAACAUUAGCUCGGCGGCUCUGUGUCAUAUAGAUCAUUUUUUUUGUAGAUGUAUCACAAGAGAGCCAUGAUAAAGUUAACUGAAAAAGAAAUAAAAAAUGCAACGAUAUCCAAUUAGAUGAACAAAAAAAGCUUUGAACACAAAGGAAAAUGAGAGAAUAAAUUACCAGAUAUAUUGAAGUAUCCUCACCAUUAUACAUUUAUGAGAAAAACAACACAUACCUUGCUAUAGGAGCUAUUCGUAUAAGUCAAAAACUACAAGCACAUGGCUGGGAUUUGUAGAUGAGACAAGGUUUGCGAAUUACAACAUACACUUCAAGUCUCAUGUUUCAUAGAACUAUUCUGCACAAAGUACAUGAAUCCUACAUACCUCGCAUGACCAUAACUUUGACUAACAUCGAGAGAGAAAAAGGUCACAUCAGGUAUGUUCCUCGAGGUGGUAGCUCAGUUGUCCGGGCGGUCAUAGUCUCCAUGGUGUAUUCCUCGAUUAUGGUCGUGUGCAUGGAAAGGUAAAAGAGUGUGACGAAGAGGUGGAGAUACAUGCAGUUGAAAAAGAAAUAGGUAAAUUGCUACAGAUGUAAUAGAGAGAUAAACAGCCUGGGAGCCCCAUUAGCGACCGUGACGGUGACAAUGGCAACCAUGGCCAUGCGGGGUAUGCUCGUGUAGAAGAAGGACGAGGCAGAGAUGAAUCAUGUAGGUAUGCAAAUGUGUGCAUGGUUUUGGUCCAGUUUUAAUGGCUAGCCAAAUGAUGGCAAGUACGUGGGCUCCUAUUUCUGGUAAACAAUCAAAUUAGACGACAUCUUUCAUAUUUGGAAAGAAUCGAAUUAAAGGGCAACAACAUAAUGCGAAAAAUUAUGGAAAGGAACAAAUCAUGCUCAUGCAAUAAUAUUUGGAAGGUGAGAAUGGACCAGAAUUGGGACGCAUGCAAUAUUUAAGAAUGAGUAAAGAAUGUUGUUAACGGGUGUAGCAAUCGAAACCCGAUACACAUAGGCAGGAUCAUCCAUUGAUCCAACGGCUGAUGCUCUAGGUGCCCAGGCACCUAGGUGCCCCAGUUAUUUUACCUAUAUAUAUAUAUAUAUAUAUAUAUAUAUAUAUAUAUAGUAACACUAAACUAAGUGUGAGUGUAGAAUAGCUUAUCCUACACCCCAGUAACGGUACAUACAAAAUAUAGUAACACACUAUGUAAAAUAUAUUAAUUUUUGUAAAAAUGUAGUAAAUUACAAACAUAGAUGAUUAAAAAAAAUAUUUUCCGAAUUACUACAUUUUGUACACCGUUUUACUAGAUUUUGUACAUAGCGUUACUAGGGAGUGUAGAAUAAGCUAUUCUACACUCACGCUUAGAAUAAACACUAUCUUCGUAACCAUGGCUUCCCCCACGAAUUAUUCUGGUUAGUCUUGUUCUAUAUCAUAUUAGUGUAAUCUAGGAACAUUUUUAGCAACUAAAUACCGGUUUUAAAUAGGUAUCUCGCUCGUUAGCAGAUUUUGCUCUCGGGUCGUGAUGAAAUUGCGUUUUUUGGCAAUUUUACUGCCUGAGUUGUUCGACCUGAACUUCCCCUAGUGCUAGGUUGAACUUCCACCAACAUUGCCCAAAUGGGGCUUGCGAUAUACCGUUGGAAAGCUAUGGACACCAGUAUCAUGACCAAAGUUAAAUUUUUGGCAAAAUGUAAGCGGUUUAAGAACAGUUUUGAAAACUGUUUUUUCUUCACACAAAAAGCGUGAAUCAUAUUUUCGAUCGCAUUUCUAAACCGUUUAUCGGAAUGAGGCAAAUGAUAUGGCAUUGGAAAGAUGCUGCAAAACCGCUCCUUCCACAUGUUGAAAGUUUUGGCUAAUUCCCUAUGUUAAAGAGUAAUUUGGAAAAUCGUAAAAUUUCACAAACCGAACAGCCGAGUUCGUAUUUUCAAUGUCAUUUUUAAAUGGCUAAUACAUUUGAGGAAAAUGAUAUGGCGUUGGAAACUUAUGAAAAUACGCUACUUUUUCAUGUUGAAAGUUUUUUCUAAUUUUGAACGGUUUAAAAGUAAUUUAGAAAACGGUACAAGUUGCACCGAGUUCGUAUUUUUGAGCUAAUUUUUUAAUCGUACGUCCGAAUCUAGCAAAUGAUAUGGCGUUGGAAAGCUUGAGAAAAUGCGAAACGUUUUUCUAUAUAUUAUUUCUCCCAAUUCAUUACAGUUUUAUGUCAAUUUUGAAAAUGGCUAAAAACGUAUUUUCGCCGUAAUUUCUACAAACUUUAUCGGAAUUGGACAAAUAAUAUACCGUUGAAAAGCUAAGGAAAAUGCGAAACUUUUUCAUGUUGUUGGUUUUCUCUGAUUCCUAGUCAUUUUCAAGUAAUUUCGAAAAUGACGAGAUCAUUUGUUCUGCCGUUAUCGCGAAACAGAUUCUUCGAAAAUGCACUGCAUGAAGAACCUGACCUUCUCGGCAUGUCUACUUGAAAUUCACUCUGUUUUUCACGUCCUUUUUUUGCCCGUAGCUCUCCAUACACUCACUGCAACACUCACCGGAAUUGAGCAAAUAAUAUACCGGUGAAAAGCUGAUGUAAACACGCAUCUUUCCCGUGUUGAUUGUUUUUUCAUAAUCACGACGGUUUUAAAAGUUAUUCAUCUGAAAUUCAUUCAGUGCAGUAGUUGAACUUCCUGUUGUUUUCACAUUGAAAUUCUGUGACGUAUUUUCGUUUGUAAUUUUCUCAUCCAUUCGUCUGUGUUACACAAAUGAUAUUCCUUCUGUACAAACCUCUCUCACAAUAAUUUAUUUUAACUUCCUCCUAUGGAGAACUUGAACUUGUAACAACAAAAAACUUUUGAACUUUGCUUUUUAAUUCUUUUUAAUACAAAAUGCACACCGUGUAGUACAUGACCUUCUGGCAGUUAUCAAUCUGAACUUCUCUCGGUUACGUGAAAAUAUCUGAGUUUUUUAUAAAUAUUAAUCUGAAUUUCUUAAUCCUUUUUUAUGAAUUUUGAAGCACUCUAUUUUUAAAAGUUGAACUUCUUGUUAUUUUAUUUUUGAACUUCUUGUUCCCAUUCUUUAAUAAUGACGUAAACCUGAGUUUUCUAUAAUCAUCGAACUUCUCCAUCUUUUUAAUCUGGACUUCCUAGUUUUUUUCUUAAUCUUUUUUAUGAAAUUUUGAAGCGCUCUAUUUUUAAAAGUUGAAAUUCUUGUUAUUUAAUUUUUGAAAUUCUUAUUUCCAUUCUUUUAAUAACGAGGAAAAUACGAGUUUUCUAUAAUCAUCGAACUUCUCCAUCUUUUUAAAUUGGGCUUCCCGGUAUUAUUUCUUAAUGUUUUCUAUGAAAUUUUGAAGCUCUCUAUUUUUAAAAGAUGAACUUCUUGUCAUUUUAUUUUUGAACUUCCUAUUUCCAUUCUUUAAUAACGAGGAAAAUCUGAGUUUUCUAUAAUCAUCGAACUUCUCCAUCUUUUUAAUAUGGAUGCCCUAGUUUUAUUUCGGAAUCAUUUUUUUCAAUUUGAACUUCAUGGUUGAUUCUUCAAUACUAAGGGGUAUUUGAGUAUUUUGAGAACGGUAAAAUUUUAGUUUCUAAAUAAACAUCGAACCAUUUCGUUAAUUUCAUUGAACUUCCAGUUUUUUAGAGAUGGGGAAAAUCUAUUUUUAAACUUUUUUUAGUUGUUUCUUUUUUUAAUUUGAACUUCUUCAUUUUAUACUGUAGUAACGCUAAAAAUCUAAGUUUUUCAUAAUCUUUGGAUUUCUCUUUUAUUUUAAUUUGAACUUCUUAGUCUUAUUCUUAGAAAAAAAUACGUUUUUAGUUAAGCAUCAAACAUUUUUUAACGGAGAAAAUGUUUUAACCAUCCUAUGAUCACAUAUGUUUUUACUUCUAGAGUUUUUUUAACGGAGAAAAUCCUUUUUUAUACAUUUGUGUUGAGAUGCUUUGUUUUUUUAGUUUGAUCAUCUUGGGUUUGUAAUAAACAUUGGACUUCUUCUUUUAAAUUUAAACCUCUAGAUUUUUUUAGAAACAGGGAAAACCAUUAUUUUUAUAACUUUUGAAAUGAUCAAUUUUUUAAUUUGAACUUCUAGGUCUUUUUAGAAAUGGAUAAAUUCCUUUUUUUAUAAAAAAGUUGAACUGCUCUUACUUUGAUCUUCCUUGGAUUUUCUAGAUAGGUCAACAUAUUUUUUUGUUACAAACAUCGAAACAGAUUUUUGUUUUACUUUUGUUUGGUUUUUUAUUAAAAAGGGAAACUCCAUGAAUUUUUAUUGUACAAACAUAUGUGUGUAUAUUUCUUGAACUACCAAAGUUAGCAUUUUUUGCAACGCGUGUUUUCCUUCUUGGUAUAUAAACAUCGAAUUGCUCUGUUUAUUUUAAUUUGAAAUUCUUUGUUUUAUUCUUGUCGUAACAGGAACAAUAUUUUUUUUGUAAAAGUUGAAUAGUCCCAACUUCUUGUUUUCAUGUAAAAAAUCAUGUUUUAUUACAUUUUGAACUUUCGCUUAUAUUAUAUAUGAACUUCUUCAUUUUUUGAAUUGUUUUGGUGACAAAAAUCUAACAGUUGUUCUGCCAAACUUAUUUUUGGCAUCUAUUUCGAACCUACAUGGGAAAAAGGGUUGUUACAGUGGAUGUGUUAAACAUACACAAAAAGAGAAUAGGAAAGGAGUUACAACGAACAAUUUUUGUCUCGUAGUAUCAAUCUUUUCCACCGGAUACACAUCCAAAGAGAAAAAAUGUACCAAUACCUCCAUAAUGCUACAAAAAUCAUCAGAUCACGAGGAAUAGGAAAAGAGAGCAGUCCAAGAUGCUCACCCCACGUCCCCAAGUGAACAUCAAGGUUUCUUGAAAAUUUUACAACCGAAAUUUGUCAUCUGUCGAGUUUGAACUUCUUUAGGCAGGGGGAACUGUCAGCCAAACCAAGAGAACAAAACACAUCACAAUAGCACAAGAGAAGAGAUUCUAAACUGUCAAGUAAGCUUUUUUCCUUUUAUUCAUGCUCUUGGGCAGCUCGCGAGUUUCCAAACUGCUUGGUGAACAGAUGGCGGCAGCAACAACAUCAAUGAGUUUUUGGCUGACGAGAGGAGGAAAGAUGCCAGCCUCGUCGGAGCAUCGUGGCAGUGUGAUCCGAGCACUGCAGCGGCGAACGUCCUGGGGCUGCAUCAUUGAACGGCCCGAGGCAGUGAGGUUGAACGGCUUGUGUGCUACCACGGCCACCGGAAGGAGCGUGGGAAGGGGCGGGACGAACGAGAGGAUCCAAAGGAGCUGCCGAGAGGUGGAGAAGGAGAAGAGGAACACAGAGGGCGAGAGGAGGCUCACCCGAGGGGAGGAUUGAGGGUUGGCUAGAGGGGAAGGACGCGGUGUUGACCAGAUCCGUGUCGGAUCAACUAGGGCCUCCUAGGUUGAUAGUGCUCGUGGUUCACCGUCGGCGACGACACAGAGCGGCGCAUGGAGGUCGAGGAGCAGGGGCGCGGUGCAAAGGAGGCCGGAGGUGGUGGCUGUGGUGAGAUUUGGGGAAGGAAACGGUGGUGGCGGGGCUAUCUUGUGAGGGCAGCGGCGGUGACGGGGAGAUCUGGGGAGGGUGGCGGCGGCCCGAUCUACUGAGGGUGGUGCCGGUGGCGGGGCAAUCUGGUGAGGGCCAAUGGCGGCACGGGCCAGGGAGGGAGGCGACGGUGGGAUCGGGAGAAGGUAGGGGAGGGGAGGCAGGCGACGGUGGGACCGGGGGUGGGGGUCGUGGGCAGUGGGUGUUUUUCUUUUUCUAGUAACGAUCGGGGCCAUGUGUGUUUGCGAUCUCACGAGCAUACCGUCGGCCCCUAUAUAGGCUGACAUGAUCCAAAUAACUAUUCUAAUCCCAGGAUGAGAAUAGUGUUGUCCUAUAUAUACAUAAACACUAUGCUGAUCACGGGAUCAGAAUAAUAUUCUGAUCACAACCUGAACUGCCUGAGUAACGCGCCUGAACUUCCCUCUGUACGAACCCGACCUUCGGGCUAUCUUCCCAACCGUGGCUUCCUCCGCGAAUUAUUCUGGUUAGUCGGGUUCUAUAUCAUGUUAGUGUAAUCGAGAAACAUUUUUAGCAACUACAUACCGGUUUGAAAUAGGUAUCUCGCUCAUUGGCGGAUUUUGCUCUCGGGUCAUGAUGAAAUUGCGUUUUUUGCAAUUUUACUCCCUGAGUUGUUCGACCUGAACUUCCCCUAGUGCUAGGUUGAACUUCUGCCAAUAUUGCCCAAAUAGGCUUGCGAUAUACCGUUGGAAAGCUAUGGACAACAGUAUCAUGACCCAAGCUAAAUUUUUAGCAAAAUGUGGGCGGUCUAAGAGAAGUUUUGAAAACCAUUUUUUCUUCACACAAAAAAUGUGAAUCGUAUUUUUGAUCGCAUUUCUAAACCGUCUAUCGGAAUGAGGCAAAUAAUAUGGCGUUGGAAAGAUGUUGCAAAAUUGCUCCUUUCACAUGUUGAAAGUUUUCGUUAAUUCCCUAUGGUUAAAGAGUAAUUUGGAAAAUCAUAAAAUUUCGCAAAGCGAACAGCCGGGUUCGUAUUUUCGAUGUUAUUUCUAAACGGCUAAUCUAAUUGAGGCAAAUGAUAUGGCGUUGGAAAGCUUAUGAAAAUGUGCUACUUUUUCAUGUUGAAAGUUUUUCUAAUUUUGAACAGUUUAAAAGUAAUUUAGAAAAUGGUACAAGUUGCACUGUGUUCGUAUUUUUAAGUUAAUUUUUUAACCGUACGUCUGAAUGUAGCAAAUGAUAUGGCGUUGGAAAGAUUGAGAAAAUGCGAAACUUUUUCUAUAUAUUAUUUCUACCAAUUCAUUACGGUUUUAUGUCAAUUUUGAAAAUGGCUAAAAAUGUAUUUUCACCGUAAUUUCUACAAACAUUAUUGGAAUUGGACAAAUAAUAUAUCGUUGAAAAGCUAAGGAAAAUGCGAAACUUAAUCAUGUUGAUGGUUUUCUCUGAUUCUUAGUCGUUUUCAAGUAAUUUCGAAAAUGAUGAGAUCAUACGUUCUGCCUUUAUCGCGAAGCAGAUUCUUUGAAAAUGCACCACGUGAAGAACUUGAACUUCUCGGCAUGUCUACUUGAACUUCACUCUGUUUUUCACGUGCUUUCUUUGCCUGUAGCUCUUCAUCCACUCACCGGAACACUCACCGAAAUUGAGCAAGUAAUAUACCGGUGGAAAGCUGAUGUAAACACACAACUUUCCCGUGUUGAUCAUUUUUUCAUAAUCGCGAUGGUUUUAAAAGUUAUUCAUCUGAAAUUCAUUCAGUGCAGUAGUUGAACUUCCUGUUGUUUUCAUGUCGAACUUCUGUGACGUAUUCUCAAUUGUAAUUUUCUCAUUCAUUCGUCCGUGUUACACAAAUGAUAUUCCUUCUGUACAAACCUCUCUCACAAUAUUUUUUUAACUUUCUCCGAUGCAGAACUUGAACUUAUAACAACAAAACUUUUAGAUUUUGCUUUUUUAAUCUUUUUAAUACAAAAUGCACACCGUGUAGUACGUGACCUUCUGGCAGUUAUCAAUCUGAACUUCUCUCGGUUACGUGAAAAUAUCUGAGUUUUUUUAUAAAUAUUAACCUGAAUUUCUUAACCUUUUAUAUGAAUUUUUAAGCGCUCUAUUUUUAAAAUUUGAACUUCUUGUUAUUUUAUUUUUGGACUUCUUGUUUCCAUUCUUUAAUAACGAGGGAAAUCUGAGUUUUCUAUAAUCAUCGAACUUCUCCAUCUUUUUAAUAUGGACUUACUAGUUUUUUUCUUAAUCUUUUUUAUGAAAUUUUGAUGUGCUCUAUUUUUAAAAGUUGAACUUCUUGUUAUUUAAUUUUUGAACUUCUUAUUUCCAUUCUUUUAAUAACGAGGAAUAUAUGAGUUUUCUAUAAUCAUCGAACUUCUCCAUCUUUUUAAAUUGGGCUUCCUGGUAUUAUUUCUUAAUCUUUUUGAUGAAAUUUUGAAGUGCUCUAUUUUUAAAAGUUGAACUUCUUGUCAUUUUAUUUUUGAACUUCUUGUUUCCAUUCUUUAAUAACGAGGAAAAUCCGAGUGUUCUAUAAUCAUUGAACUUCUCCAUCUUUUUAAUAUGGAUGUCCUAGUUUUAUUUUUGAAUCAUUUUCUUUCAAUUUGAACUUCAUGGUUGAUUCUUCAAUACUAAGGGGUAUGUGAGUAUUUUGAUAACGGUAAAAUUUUAGUUUCUAAAUAAACAUUGAACCACUUCGUUAUUUUCGUUUGAACUUCUAGUUUUUUUUAGAGAUGGGGAAAAUCUAUUUUUAAACUUUUUUAGUUCUUCCUUUUUGAAUUUGAACUUCUUCGUUUUAUACUUUAGUAACGCGAAAAAUCUGAGUUUUUCAUAAUCUUUGGACUUCUCUUUUAUUUUAACCCCAGCAUUAGAAUAGUGUUGUCCUAUAUAUAUAUAUAUAUAUAUAUAUAUAUAUAUAUAUAUAUAUGCUGGGUCUAUUAUGAUAACACCCUUAGAGUCUUAUUCUGCUAACACCUAGCCUUAUUCUGCUAACACCCCCGCCUACCGCUAUAGCUACAAACAAACCACCAAACUGCGGCAAUAAAAAAAACCACCCAUNNNNNNNNNNNNNNNNNNNNNNNNNNNNNNNNNNNNNNNNNNNNNNNNNNNNNNNNNNNNNNNNNNNNNNNNNNNNNNNNNNNNNNNNNNNNNNNNNNNNNNNNNNNNNNNNNNNNNNNNNNNNNNNNNNNNNNNNNNNNNNNNNNNNNNNNNNNNNNNNNNNNNNNNNNNNNNNNNNNNNNNNNNNNNNNNNNNNNNNNNNNNNNNNNNNNNNNNNNNNNNNNNNNNNNNNNNNNNNNNNNNNNNNNNNNNNNNNNNNNNNNNNNNNNNNNNNNNNNNNNNNNNNNNNNNNNNNNNNNNNNNNNNNNNNNNNNNNNNNNNNNNNNNNNNNNNNNNNNNNNNNNNNNNNNNNNNNNNNNNNNNNNNNNNNNNNNNNNNNNNNNNNNNNNNNNNNNNNNNNNNNNNNNNNNNNNNNNNNNNNNNNNNNNNNNNNNNNNNNNNNNNNNNNNNNNNNNNNNNNNNNNNNNNNNNNNNNNNNNNNNNNNNNNNNNNNNNNNNNNNNNNNNNNNNNNNNNNNNNNNNNNNNNNNNNNNNNNNNACCCCACAGCACCGCCCCACGACUCCCCCACCCAAGCACAACUCUCUCAUGGCUCACGCUGCCUCCCUGGAUAGCCGGAUCCCGAUCGCCCCGAUUGAAACCCCACACAUGUGAUGGCCGCCACCUGGGAGCCGCGAUGGCCCGGAUCCGACUCGCUCCUCCAUGGCCUCUGAUGUCGCCAUGUGGUGCGCCACCGGCCACCCACGCCCCGCGCAGCUCGUUGCUGCCCGAUAUUCAGUUCAGCGACCGUGGCAGUGCAGUUCGGAGGCGCGGGUGAUGUGGUUCAGUGCUGGUCGUCAUGGAUGGUCCUCGGGGUAGAUCCCGUAGGUGCUCUUCCAACUCUCUUCACUUUCGUGGCGCUCGAGCGUAGAUGGGACGGUGUCCAACAUCGGCGUGCAGUACGACAUACGACGACGUGCAAUACAGGAUACAACGGCCUGCAGUUCGGUGACCCUCCCACGCGCCAGAACAACCAUGAGCAACAGCACGGCUGGGAGCUCCUCCACCAUUCGCGCCCCAACCACCACUGCAACCCUCUUUCCCCUUGGCUACCUCCUUCCCCUGUAACACCCACGAUGCGGCUAUAUCUCCCACGUGUCGGAGCACGACUUAGAGGCAUAACCGCAUGGUAGGCAUGUCGCAAGAGGGGUAAUCUUUACACAUCCCAUGUACUGAAUAAGAAAGGGAUAAAGAGUUGGCUUACAAUCGCCACUUCACACAAUACAUAAAUAUAUCAUACAUCAUCCAGAAUACAAUCAAGGUCCGACUACAGAACCAAAAUAAAGAAAGACAACCCCAAAUGCUAGAUCCCCGAUCUCCCCAACUGGGCUCCUCUACUGAUCAUCCAGAAAAGACACGUAGUAACAGCCAGAAUCCUCGUCGAACUCCCACUUGAGUUCGGUAGCAUCCCCUGCACUAGCAUCAUCGGCACCUGCAUCUGUUUGGAAGUAUCUGUGAGUCACGGGGACUCAGCAAUCUCACACCCUCGCGAUCAAUACUAUUUAAGCUUAAAGGUAGGAAACGGGUAGUGAGGUGGAGCUGCAGCAAGCACUAGCAUAUAUGGAAGCUAAAUUACGCAAAUGAGAGCGAGAAGAGAAGCAAAGCACGGGCGAGAAGCUAAUAAUGAUCAAGAAGUGAUACUAAGGGUACUUAUGUUCAAGCAUAACACGAGACCGUGUUCUCUUCCUAGACUCCGCCGAAAAGAGACCAUCACGGCUACACACGCGGUUGCUUCAUUUUAAUUAGAUUAAGUGUCAAGUUUUCUACAACCGGAUAUUAACUAAUUCCCAUCUGCCCAUAACCACGGGCACGACUUUCGAAAGUUCAAAACCCUGCAGGGGUGUCCCAACUUAGCCCAUCACAAGCUCUCAUGGUCAACGAAGGAUAUUCCUUCUCCCAGGAAGACCCGAUCAGACUCGGAAUCCCGGUUACAAGACAUUUCGACAAUGCUAAAACAAGACCAGCAAGACCACCCGCUGUGCCGACAAAUACUGAUAGGAGCUGCACAUAUCUCGUUCUCAGGGCACACCGGAUAAGAUAAGCGUACAUGAACCAACAUAACCCAUGUUGCCAAGGGACGGUCCCACACGGGGCUCUAGUUUGGACCAACACUCAAAGGAGCACUGGCCCGGGGGUUUAAAAUAAAGAUGACCCUUGAGUCCGCGGAACCCAAGGGAAAAAGGCUUAGGUGGCCAAUGGUAAAACCAAGGUUGGGCCUUGCUCAAGGAGUUUUAUUCAAGGCGAACUGUCAAGGGGUUCCCAUAACACCCAACCGCGUAAGGAACGCAAAAUGGCGGAAACUAAGGCGGCAAGAGUGGAACAAAACACCAGGCAUAGGGCCGAGCCUUCCACCCUUUACCAAAUAUAUAGAUGCAUUAAAGUAAACAAGAUAUAAUAAUGAUAUCACAAAAAUCUCCAUGUUCCAACAUGGAACAAACUCCAACUUCACCUGCAACUAGCAACGGUAUAAGAGGGGCUGAGCAAAGCGGUAACAUAGCCAAACAAUGGUUGGCUGGGAAAGGUGGGUUAGAGGCUUGACAUGGCAAUAUGGGAGGCAUGAUAUAGCAAGUGGUAGGUAUCGCGACAUAGCAAUAGAGCGAACAACUAGCAAGCAAAGAUAGAAGUGAUUUCGAGGGUAUGGUCAUCUUGCCUGCAAAAUUCUCAGAGUUGACGAAAGCUUAAUCCUCGUUAGCGUACUCAACGGGUUCCUCGAUCACGUACUUGUCUCCCGGCUCUAUUAAAAGCAAGAACACAAGCAAAGGAAACAAAAAUCAACCACGGUGCAAUGCGCAAGCAACAUGAUGCAAAACAUGGCAUGAUAUGCGAGAUGUGAUAUGCAAAGCAUAUGCGUGCUCCGGAAGGAAAAGGAUGAACAAGGCAUCAACUUGGCAAACCAAGUGCUCUGCUGGAAAGAUGAGUUGAUUUUGGUCGAAAUCGAUAUAAAGAUCACCGGAAUCAGAUGCAUGGUUUGCAAAUGGCAAGCAAAACAAUAAUGGCACAAUACCGCGAUUAACAGCACGAUGCCACCUAGAAUGCAACAAGAAACUAAGGUACUACACUCCAACGUAUCAACAAAGCACAUGGUAGUGAUCUACUCAAGAUGCUUGACAAAAGAUGAACACUGAUCUACAGCUAAAUCACAUAAGAGCAGGUUCAAACAAGCAUGGCAAAAGUGCAAAAGAUAUCAGCUUCACAGACUUAGUGAAAAUACUAACAUGCUAGGAAUUAACAUCAGGAAGCAAUGUUUAGAGCAAGCUAACAACAUGCUACAUGAGCGGAUCAUAGCAAACAAAGGCAUGUCAUGAAUCUACUCAAAGCCUAGAACACAAGUCCCUUACUGACCAUGAGCCAAAAAGGCACAGAAGAUAUGAUGGCACCCAUGUAAACAUAGCAAGUUUUAUAAACAGAUUCAGACUUGGCAGAAAACUGAGCAUGCAAAAACAGAGUUAUGAAGGCAUCUUUGCAAGCUCGAUUCACUCAACACAAGGCAUCGCAUGACAAGAUAAUCAUAGAAUCAACAAGAUGGCAUGUUUAUGAAGCUAACCAAGGCAAGCUAAAGUUCAUAGCAUGCAUGGAUCAACUACAACAUCCAUGGAAAAAUUGAUUAACAUGUAAAUAAUCUGCUGGGAACAUUUUAUAGCAAAAGUAGAGCAAGAUUAAGACAUGCUAGUGGACUCCAUAAUUGCAAACAGGGGCAUGGAUGGAUAGAGCAUAACCAUAUGUCAAAAUCAUCCUUACUGAAGAUACUCAAAACAAGCAUGGAUCACUCUGUGGCAUCAUGGAUACAUGGCAUAAAAAUAACAGUAGCCAAAGACUUAGCCAAAAUCCUGAGAUCCUGAAAUCAACAAUAUCACGAAGGCUACUUUGCAUGCUUGUGCUAGUCAUGACAAAGAUCACAAAAAUACAUGGCAUACACCCCUGUAAAGAUGGCAUGGCAUAUAUCAAUAUACAUGUAGGGCUCAUGCCCAUAUGCAGCACACAACAAAUGUAGCAAAAAUGACAACUCCUCAUACUCUGAUAAGAGUCAGCACCUAACAAUUUAUAGCACUCUUGCAUCAGUUAUUAGGGCAUCAAGAUGGACUCAAACAAGCAUGUCACAAUGUAACAAAAUGAAGAGCACAUCAUGAUGAACAUUUUGAUAUAUUGCACGCACAAAACGGAGCUACAUGCAAGAAGUUAUGAUGCAUUGAACAGAGGCUUAAAACAUAACAUAAAAAGGACUUAGAGGGGAUUUGGACCUCCAGAUUUGAGAUCUAGGGUUCGGUGGCGCGGAUGAUGAGGACGGCCAGAGCGGAUCUCGCCGGAAUCUGCAGGGGCGGUGACCGGAGCUCGAAGGAGAGGAGGCCGGCGAGGGGGUCCGGCGAACGACGACCGUGGGAGGUGGCGGAGACAGGUGCUGGCGGCGGAGGACGAGCUAGGCGCGGUCGCCGGCGCGGAGGAGCGACGCGGCUGCCAGCCGGCAUGGAGGAGCGCCGGUGAUGGCGGGCGCGGUCGGUGGAGCACGCCGGCAAGGCGGUGGCGGGCUCGGUGGGAGGCGGCGGGCGAGCGCGGGUGUCGGUGUCAAAACAGGCCGAUCUUGGGUAGGGGGUCCCAAACUGUGCGUCUAAGGCGGAUGGUAACAAGAGGCAGGUGACACGAUGUUUUACCCAGGUUCGGGCCCUCUUGAUGGAGGUAAAACCCUACGUCCUGCUUGAUUUAUUCUUGAUGAUAUGAAUAUUACAAGAGUUGAUCUACCACGAGAUCAGAGAGGCUAAACCCUAGAAGCUAGCCUAUAGUAUGAUUGUCUGUUGUCCUACGGACUAAAACCCUCCGGUUUAUAUAGACACCGAAGGGGGCUAGGGUUACACAAGGUCAGUUACAAAGGAGGAGAUAUCCAUAUCCGUACUGCCUAGCUUGCCUUCCACGCCAAGUAGAGUCCUAUCCGGACACGGGACGAAGUCUUCAAUCUUGUAUCUUCAUAGUCCAACAGUCCAGCCAAAGGAUAUAGUCUGGCUGUCCGGAGACCCCCUAAUCCAGGACUCCCUCAGUAGCCCCUGAACCAGGCUUCAACUUCGAUGAGUCCGGCGCACGGUGUUGUCUUCGGCAUUGCAAGGCGGGUUCCUCCUCCGGACACACCACAGAAGAGUUUGAAUAAAAGGAUAGUGUCCGACCCUGCAAAAUACAUUCCACAUACCAUCGUAGAGAGAAUAAUAUUUGCACAAAUCUAAUCUGUUGACACAUUUUGGCAACAUGACAUCAUGCCAUGGCUCGGUGAUUAUUCGAACCGUUUUUCUUUAACUAGCCCCGCACAUAACGCGAGGCAGUUUCUUGACACGUCUUGUCAAAGCAGAGAUCGUGUCCCCCUUAUUACGGGAUUCUCGUCAAUACGGGCAUGGGUAACCCAACCGUGCCAUCAAUUACGGCGCUUGAGGGAUAAGCGAGUUUUACCAGGCUAGUGGGGGCGCAUAGUUUUGGCCGCCCUUAUAAAGGGAUAAGGUUUAACCUUUUUCUACCCACGCCUUCUUCCUCCUUGCUCAUUCGUUCUUGCGCACUUGAGCUCCAACGCCCAAGUCCACAUCCUUCUCCUCAACCUUCUCCAAACAUGUACGGAGCGGGAGGCAAGUGGAUGGCUUCCUCCGUCACGGAGGGACACAUCAAAAAGCUGCGAGGAGCCGGAUACUUAGCCGCGAAUAUCGUGCAUCGGCUACCCGCUGCAGGGCAGAUCACCCCUACCCCGGAACCUCACGAGAGGGUAGUCUUCCUCCACCACUUCCUCCGCGGACAGGGGUUUCCCCUCCAUCCAUUCGUCCGCGGUCUUAUGUUCUACUAUGGGCUAGACUUUCAUGAUCUGGCCCCGAACUUCAUCCUCAACAUUUCGGCAUUCAUCGUCGUGUGUGAGGCUUUCCUCCGCAUCCGGCCCCACUUCGGCCUGUGGCUGAAGACCUUCAAUAUCAAGCCGAAGGUGGUGGGAGGCCGACAAACGGAAUGCGGUGGAGCCAUGGUGGGCAAGAUGCCCAAUGUUAUAUGGCUUGACGGCUCCUUCGUGGAGACCAUAAAGGGAUGGCAAUCGGCGUGGUUCUACAUCACCGAGCCGCGCGACACCAACUGGGUGGUGGCCCCCGAGUUUCGAUCUAGGAUCCCCACGCGGCUCACCUCCUAGAAAGAGAAGGGCCUAUCCUGGGGUUCAUCGGUGGAGCUGGACGGACUCUAGAAAUGUAUCCGGAAUAUGGCAAGCAAGAAGCUCAAGCUUGUCAACAUAGUCCAGGUCAUGCUCUUCCGUCGGAUCCUCCCGUGUCGACAACGGGAUUUCAACUUGUGGGAGUUCGACCCGGCCUAGCACCAGACUCUGAGCGAGCUCUUCGACAUGACGCACAAGGACGUCUGGAGGGUGCUGUUCAAGGGUGUCGAGGUCCCUCCCUCUCUCAUCGAGGACCGCGGGCUAAGCGCGAAGCGCCCUGCGAAUCCGGUAAGUUUUGUACAUCUGGUAGGAUUUUUACUUCCCAUAGCUUAACCACGUGCGGGGUCUGAGCUCCCAUGCCUUUGACAGGACUGGGUGGGGGCAUCGGAGAAGAUCAACUGUCCGGCCCCUCUGCCCGAAGACACUGCGGACGCUCUCCUAAUGGAGAUGCUCACUCCGGCUCCUUACAAGGUGCCGAAGAAGGCCAAGAAGAAGGCCAAGGGAACCCGGAAGAGUUCCCGACGCCAGGUGGUAUCGGACUCAUGGUCCGAUGACUCUGCAACGCACUCCUCCCACGAAGACGAGGAGGAAGAUGAAGAUGUUCCCCCUCCAGCCGAGGGAGACAAGAAAAGGAAGGCCGCCCCAACCCGGGGGGAGGAGGGCGAAGGGUCCAAGAAGGGAAGGACUCUCCUUCCGGACUGCUCCACAACAGCCGCCGAAGACGAAGACGAGUGGCUGCUCAGGGCCAAGCCCCUGGCGAAGUCGUAAGUAUUCGGAUACCGGAGUAACUCAUAGCAUACAUUUGUCGCACUGCUUCUCCUAACGCCGAAUAUGAUUAUGCAGACCGCCCCAAGCCCGUAUCGACGUAUCUUCGUCGGGCGGCUCCUUGGACUCGUCGGAUAUGGAUAGCGAUCCACUUCUGACCGCCACCUCCCCUUUCCCUACAGAUAAUGCCAAGGUGCUGUCUCAAGAGGCACCGGGUCGAGGGGAGACAGUCCCGAAGGCGCCUCAAGGCGACCUUCCGGACUCCGGGAGCAGAGGGGGUAAGGCUCCCGAGGGCUCCGAGUUCGGCCUUCAGCUGAACAUUGCACCGAAACCUCCAGUGGUUCCAGACUCGGGCAGGCGGCCUCCUUCCAAAAGGGGCAAGACGUCUGUGCCGGUAACCUUUGUCCAUCUAGAGGCACCGGAUAAUCUGCUGGGAGCGCUUCGCAGCGCUUCCAUCGACGAAGAGCACCGCACUAUUAUGAGUGCGGUGAUCCAGAAGGUUCAGUCCGCCAAGAGCGGACUGACUGAAGCCUGUGCCAGCCUUCUAACAGGCUAUGAGGUAAGUGUUUGAAAUAUAGGAAAAAUAUUACCGCAUAGACAGUAGCCCCUGAUGCUCUGUUUGGUGUUUAAAAAGAAAAGCCGAAUAGAGGAUCAACUAAUAUCUACAGGAGUCUAAUAUAAGUAUGUCUAUAUGCAUAUGCAGGCUUCGCUGCUGACCUCUGCCGCACUGACUGUGGAGGUUGCCGUACUGAAGCAGGACCUCGAAGGGUCCAAGAAAGAGCUCGGCCUUGCCAAGAGGCAGCUCGAGGAGAACUAAGGUAAGUAAUACCUAGUCUGUAGAUAUGUAUAUAUAUAAAAGGGAUGCAAUUGCAAAAUGACAGGAUCAUCUUUAAUUUGCCAGGGGCCACGACCGAAGUGGCAACCCUGAAGCAAGCGCUAUUCGAGGCCGAAAACAAAGCAGCCCAGGAGCGCACCGAGUGGGAAAAACAAGAGGCACGGGUGGGCGAGGUGCAGCAAGAGCUCCACGCUCUCGUGACGAAGCACGAGGCGUUGGAGCUUGACUUGAAGACGCGAGAUUCCGAGCUUGUCGCGACCCUUGAGAGUGCAAAGAGUGCCAAGGCCGAAGCCCAAAAGGCCCUCCAGGAGAUUGAUGCGAUGAAGAAGAUAGCGGCGGGUAAGGCAUUCUAUAUGCAAAGCAAGCAUGUGAAAGUAAAUUACUUGUUACUUAACCGAAUCUAGAGCUCUCCAGGAGCAUUCACAGAUUUGCCCCGUAACAUGUCGGAUGCUGCACAAUUUUACCAGGCCGAGGAGGGAAGCUCAACAGAGAAGCUGUUCUGGUCUCAGUAUACUGGGACUGAACACCCGAUGCCUCUGAUCGACCAGCUGAGGCAACUGGUCGAGCUGCACAAGGCGACCGAACAGGCCAUGAAGGGAUUUAUAGUCCGGAUGUGGACUGGCGACGCCCUUCCCAACAGCUACUUCAGCCUGGUGAGGCGGCUUGUGGAUGCCUGCCCAUGGCUGGAAGUCAUCAAGCGGUCCGUCUGCAUCGAAGGUGCACACCGGGCUAUCGCCCGUGCGAAGGUGCACUGGGCCAAGAUGGACGCCGUGAAGCUGGUGAAGGAAGGGCCGUCGCAGGGCAAGGAGCAUCGCCACCCCGAGAUGUACUAUGAGGGUGUCCUGAAGGGUGCCCGUCUUGUAACGGACGAGUGUGCGAAAGAUGUAAUAUUUGAAUAAACUUGCUCGUGUAAUCCUGUAUUAUGAAAACUUGUUCAUAUGCGCUAUGCAAUGCUUGUUUGAAUUUAAAAUAUUGCCUUCUGUUCGGCUGUUUAUCAAAUCUGAGAGAUGGCUAGUCGUCGGCUCCUGCCCCCACGCCACGAGUGCUGGGUUGUUCGGUAUAAACCUGAGCACUCUUGUUCCCAUUUUUGGGUCCUUCGAGGGAGGUGCUUAGCACAACGAACAAGGCAAUCGGACUAUAAUGCGUUAUCACUCUCACUUAGCCAUAGAAUUCUAUAAUUUUAAAUUUCGGCGAAGCCCCUAGUAUUCGGAAGGCUGAUUUCGGGGCGCUAUACACGCCUUAAGUCGGACAGGGCCGACUCCUCGCUCUAAGCGGCAUAAGUCUUUAGGGACUUGAAACCUCUCGAACAGCGUCCAGUCUCUCGCCUUAUCAUGAUAGUCAGUUUUAGCUUUCUCUACUGAGGUGCUUAGCCCAGCAGAACCGGGGCACAAUCGCAGUAGUUCUCCCAGUGCUACCUUAGCCGAUAUAGCGGAACGUAAGGUACCAAAACAUGGGAGCCGGGCAAACCCAACUAUUGACCCAAGACAUGAUUCGGAGCUGAUGCAUAUAAUGCUAUAAGUUCGGGGUGCCGCACUGUCGAAAGUGUUCGGACUUCUCAUGCCGUAUUAUGGGGUAUGCCUAAGCCCCUAGCAUAUUGGCCGUACCAGAAUGUACGGGUGCUAGAUGUCAUGAAUGAACAUAUAUAUACAUAUAUAUAUAUAUAAAGGAAGAAUGCAAUAAUAGUCUUAAUGCUAUGCCUUGUUUAUUCAAAAAGGUGCGUUAAAGCAGAAUAAUACAAGUAGUGCGAUAAGCAAAAAGUAGGACUGUUUGACAUGUCCCUUCCAAGGGCAAGUUGAGGAAUAGUAUUAAAGAAAAUAUUUCACUCGUUAUCGUAAUCCACCUGGGAGUUCCGUGGUGUGACGUAGCUUGCUGCCUCCUUGGUUGCUGCAUCAUGUGUUCGGCAAUCAUGCUGCUGGAGAGGGUUUCCAGAGAUUAAAGUCCUGAAAGAGAAAAAUAACAAAGCGGGAAGCCCCUAGUGCGGUUUAAGCCGCGUCUUGGAGCGUGCCGUAGUCGUGCCCCGCUCCCCACCUAUGCCCAUGGUAUUUUUAAUGCAUAAUUAUGUACGCGUGGCACGGAUUUUGCCGUUUGGCUGGGACCGGGUGGGGGCCACAUUGCUAUGCAAGCUCGGAACGUGCCAGGCGGUCCAGUUGCCGAUUACUCCGGGCGCGCUUGAAGGUGUCUGGGUCCUUAAUCGCCGAACUAGUGGAUUGCCUUAAGAGGCUACUUUGCGCUUCUGCUGCGAGGGCCGCAGUGUGCUCCUCCGUGCGGAGAGAGCGCUUUGUGUUUCCAUUGACUGUGAUGACCCCCCAAGGUCCUGGCAUCUUGAGCUUGAGAUAUGCAUAAUGCGGUACCGCAUUGAAUCUCGCAAAUGCAGUUCACCCGAGCAGUGCAUGGUAGCCACUGCGGAACGGGACUAUGUCAAAGAUUAACUCUUCGCUCCGGAAGUUAUCCGGGGAUCCGAAGAGCACUUCCAGUGUGACUGAGCCUGUGCAAUGGGCCUCUACACCUGGUAUGACGCCUUUAAAGGUCGUUUUUGUGGGUUUGAUCCUUGAGGGGUCUAUACCCAUUUUGCGCACUAUGUCCUGAUAAAGCAGGUUCAGGCUGCUGCCACCAUCGAUAAGGACUCGUGUGAGGUGAAAUCCGUCAAUGAUUGGGUCUAGGACCAGUGCGGCGAAUCCGCCUGACGGAUACUAGUGGGGUGGUCCCUGCGAUCGAAGGUGAUCGGACAGGAGGACCAUGGGUUGAACUUUGGGGCGACUGGCUCCAACGCAUAUACGUCCCUGAGCGCACGCUUCCGCUCCCUCUUGGGGAUGUGGGUUGCGUAUAUCAUGUUCACCGUCCGCACUUGUGGGGGGAACCUCUUUUGUCCUCCGGUGUUCCGCUGCCGGGGCUCCUCCUCGUCAUCGCUAUGUGACGCCUUAUCUUUGUUUUCAGCAUUUAACUUGUCGGCCUGCUCGAACACCCAACGAUCCCUGUUGGUGUGGUUGGCUGGCUUGUCGGGGGUGCCGUGUAUUUGACACGAGCGAUCGAGUAUACGGUCCAAACUGGACGGGCCCGGAGUGCUUCUUUUGAAUGGCUUUUUCCGCUGACCGGGUUUAGAGCCUUUGAAUCCGGCGUUGACUGGCGUAUCCUCGCUAUUGUCACUGUUAAUGCAGCGAUUAUGCUUGUUGCGACGUGACCUGCCGUUGCCGUCCUUGGUAUCCGAAGUACCAUGGUUCUUUGAUAUGUUAUUGCUGUGAGCCAACCAGCUGUCCUCUCCCGCACAGAAGCGGGUCAUGAGUGUCGUGAGGGCUGCCAUAGAUUUCGGCUUUUCCUGGCCAAGGUGCCAGGCGAGCCAUUCGUCGCGGAUGUUGUGCUUGAAAGCUUCUAGGGCCUCUACAUCUGGACAGUCGACGAUUUGAUUUUUCUUUGUUAGGAAUCGUGUCCAGAAUUGCCUGGCCGAUUCCUCUGGCUGCUGAAUUAUGUGGCUCAAGUCAUCGGCAUCUGGUGGUCGCACAUAAGUGCCUUGAAAGUUGUCGAGGAAUGCGGCUUCCAGAUCUUCCCAACAGCCAAUGGACUCUACUGGCAAGUUGUUGAGCCAAUGCCGAGCUGGUCCUUUGAGUUUGAGUGGGAGGUAUUUGAUGGCGUGUAGGUCAUCGCCGCGGGCCAUGUGGAUGUGCAGGAGGAAAUCCUCGAUCCAUACCGCAGGAUCUGUUGUGCCGUCAUAUGAUUCUAUAUUUACGGGUUUGAAACCCUCUGGGAUUUGAUGAACCAUUACUUCGUCUGUGAAGCAUAAGGGGUGUGCAGCACCUCUGUACUGGGCUAUAUCGCGACACAACUCAAAUGAGUCUUGCCCGCUUUGUUCGGCCCGACCGGACUUACUUUUACUAUAUCCGGCGUCACGAUUAUCGUCUCGCAUAGUGGCGCGCCCUCAUGAUCCGUAGAUCAAUCUUGCGGUUUUGCUUUGUCCUCCAUUACGUCUCACAGGUCUGGCGUAUUUCCUCAUGCCUUUUUAUUUGAAUGGCGUCGGGGUGUGGGCUGAGCUUUUGGCUGGAAUGCCUCUCUGUCGCGGCAACGAGGUGGCCGAUCAGCCGCGUCAUACGCCGGGGAUGUAGGUUUCGGUGCUUCCUCCUCCAGUCGGGGUAGCAACCUGCACUUUGGGUAACUCUUGGAGGGGCGUUCGAGUUUAUAUUCCUCGGCCGCCAGGACUUCAGUCCAUCUGUCAGCUAGCAAAUCUUGAUCAGCUUGAAGCUGUUGUUGCUUUUUCUUAAGGCUAUUUGCCGUGGCUAUAAGCCGGCGCUUGAAGCGCUCUUGUUCGACGGGAUCCUCUGGCAUGACGAAUUCGUCAUCAUCGAGGCUUGCCUCGUCUUCGGAGGGAGGCAUGUAAUUAUCAUCCUCCUCCUCUCCAUCUGUCGCUCUCUCAGAAGGGCUGGCUUCUCCAUCCUCCUGCUAUAAAUCUUGCUGGAGGGGAUUGUUGUUGCCUUCGGCACUUUUCGGAGUGCUAUUAUCUCCGGUGCCGGUAUCACCGCUUUUGCCUUGGCGGGACUUAGAGCGGCGCCGCUGACGCUGGCGCUUGGGUUGCUUCUUGGAGGGGUCAUCCUUCGCUGUCCCAUCGCCAUUGCCUUCUUUGGGUGUGUCCAUCAUGUAUAUGUCAUAUGAUGAGGUGGCUGUCCAGUGCCCUGUGGGCAGUGGUUCCUCUUCGCCUCCCGCAUCGUCGUCCAUACCGUCGAUGUCUUCGGAGUCGAAGUCGAGCAUGUCGGUUAAGUCAUCGACAGUGGCUACUAAGUGGGUGGUGGGUGGGCGGCGAAUUUCUUCGUCAUCUGCGUCCCAAUCCUGACGGACGUAGUUCAGCCAGGACUCUCCUGACAAGGAGAGAGACCUUAAUGAGUUUAGUAUGUCGACAAAGGGCGAGUGCUAAAAAAUAUCCGCGGAGGUAAACUCCAUGAUCGGCGCCCAAUCGGAUUCGAUAGGAACGGGUGCAGGCGGUUAGGAGUCCGUGGCCGGAGAAGGAUCCGACAGUUUGGCAACACGGCUCUCGUGAAGGGUAAGGUCGAUAUUCGGCUCGAUCGCCGCAGAGGAUACGACCUCCAUGGCAGGGUCUAUCCACCCGUCCAUGGAUGGCGCAACUGGCUCCAAAUUGAGGGUCGGAGCGGCUGCCGGUGCGAUUUCUUGAACACUGUCUGAUGGUAGAGCUAAAUCGUACUCAUCGUGACCGCGUGGCGCACAAGGCAGGGGCUCGAAUCCGUCGAAGAUCAAGUCUCCGCGGAUAUCGGCCGUGUAGUUUAAGCUUCCAAACCUGACCUGGUGGCCAGGGGCGUAACUUUCGAUCUGCUCCAGAUGGCCAAGUGAGUUGGCCCGCAGUGCGAAGCCGCCGAACACAAAGAUCUGUCCGAGGAGAAAAGUCUCACCCUGGAUUGCAUCGCUAUCGAUGAUCGUAGGAGCCAUCAAGCCUAACGGCGAUGACACAGAGGAACUCUCAAUGAAAGCACCAAUGUCGGUGUCAAAACCGGCGGAUCAUGGGUAGGGGGUCCCGAACUGUGCGUCUAAGGCGAAUGGUAACAGGAGGCAGGGGACACGAUGUUUUACCCAGGUUUGGGCCCUCUUGAUGGAGGUAAAACCCUACGUCUUGCUUGAUUUAUUCUUGAUGAUAUGAAUAUUGCAAGAGUUGAUCUACCAUGAGAUCAGAGAGGCUAAACCCUAGAAGCUAGCCUAUAGUAUGAUUGUCUGUUGUCCUACGGACUAAAACCCUCCGGUUUAUAUAGACACCGGAGGGGGCUAGGGUUACACAAGGUCGGUUACAAAGGAGGAGAUAUCCAUAUCCGUACUGCCUAGCUUGCCUUCCACUCCAAGUAGAGUCCUAUCCGAACAUGGGAAAAAGUAUUCAAUCUUGUAUCUUCAUAGUCCAACAGUCCGGCCAAAGGAUAUAGUCCGGCUGUCCGGAGACCCCCUAAUCCAGGACUCCCUCAGCGGGCGCGGGGCUGCGGCGGUUGGGCUCGGGUGGGCCCUCCUUGGGCUCGUCAGGCCACGGCAGCGGGGAAGGGUCUGGGGACACGUGGCGUGCCCUGAGUGGCUGAGGGAGGCGGCGGAUGCGUCCGGCCGGCGGCUGAUGUGUCCGGCGGUGCGGAGGGAUUGGAUCUAGGGUUUUGGACCCGGAUUUUGGACGAGGAGGACAUAUUUAUAGGUAGGAGGAGUUUGGAGUGCCCAAAUGGAGUGCAGUUUUCGCCCACGCGAUUGUGAUCCAACGACGGAGGACAUGGGAGUUGUUUGGAUGGGUUAAAGGGCCGUUUUGGAGGGGUGUUGGGCUGCAACACACAUGAGGCCUUUAUGGUUCGCUGGUUAACCGUUGGAGCAUCAAACGGACUCCAAAUGGCAUGAAAUUUGACAGGCGGUCUACCGGUGGUGUACCAAGGCCGCUUGGCAAAUCUCGGUCCAUUACGAGAAUGUUUAACACCCGCUCAUGAAAAGAGACAAAAGGGGACACCGGAGGACGUUGGAGUGUCAGAUUGCGAAACAGACAACGGGGAAAAUGCUCGGAUGCAUGAGACGAACGCAUAUGCAAAUGAGAUGCACAUGAUGACAUGAUAUGGAAUGUGUCAUGGAAUUGUCACGGCAGAUGUCCUAGUGGAAGGACUUAGUGGUAGGGCCAUCGCAACUAGGAAGCUUAAAGGGGUUAAUCGGGACAAAGGACACAAGAGGUUUUAUACUAGUUCGGCCCCUUACGAUGAAGGUAAAAGCCUACGUCUAGUUGUGUUUGGUAUUGCUGGGGUUUCGAUCACCAAGAGGCUAACUCGCUGGCUUGGUUAUCGAUCUCUUGUUUCUUGCCCUAAGCCGCCAUCGGGUCGUCCCCUUAUAUACACGGGUUUACGCCUGGUGGCCUACAGAGUCCCAGCCGGCUCAUAGUCGUAUCCGGCUCGGUGACUUCCUUUACAUGCCUUUCUUUACAAGUGUUCCCUUACAUACGAUAGUUUGUAAUAUUGGGCCUUAAGCCGCCUCUAGGCCUUUGGGCCUUCUAUACGAUUUAAUAACCUAUCAUCUUAAUGUUUACUGGGCUUCUUGUGUAACCCACCAUUGGGGCUGACCCGGCCCCUCUUGGGCGGGUCAUAACUGAUAGUUGUAUCCCCAACAUUAGGCCCCAGGUUGACUUUGUAUUUUGUUCUUUGUCAAUCUUCAACACUUAGACAAAGUCCAUAUUCUUAUCCUUGCAGAAGUUUUUGUAACCCGCCAUGACGUCAUCUCUUGGAAACGCAAAAAACUUUUAUGACGUCAUCUCCCAAUGGAUCUUCACCUUUAAUGUCUUCCGAGAAUCGAGGCGUCUGUGUAGUUGGAUAACAUUUAUUCGGCCCUUCCUCGAUUUUUGCACCCAUCUGUUCACAUUUUUCCUUAUAAAUAGGCACGCCUCGGCCUUCCUCAUUCUUCUCUCACUCUCCGUCUUCUUCCUCUCGCAACCCUCCUGCUGCUCGAGCCUCACCGCCGUCACGGUUCUCCCCCGUCUCCGUUGACCUUGGCCGCUGCAUCAACCUGAAUCAGUCCAGAGACGGCGGUGACCCCCGCAAAAGAUCUGUGGUUGUAAGUGUUCUCCUUUUCACUUCUCACAUCCGCAUUAGGGUUUCCAGAUUUCUUCGUGUUCUUCAUAGUUCAUCACAGUUCUUCGUAGUUCUUCCACCGCGGGCCUCUUCUUGAUCCAAAAAGAUAUAUAUGCUUGUGCAGUAGUGUUUUUGUGCCUACUCUUGAUGCCCACAGAUCCCUUUCUCUGGUUCAAAGAUCUCAUUGGAACUCACAGACUCAUCUGCGCUAAACUUUUUAGGUCUAGAAUUUUUUCAUUUUGAAUAGCCAUUUGAUCUGGAAUAAUACCAAGCAGUUAGGAAACUUGUUUGUCUCAACACUUAAUUGAAAUUGCUUUUCUCAAAUAUCUGUAGUCAUGGCGGCUUACUGUGCCGGCUUACUUUUGCUUAUAUGACAUUAGCCCUCAACUAAGCCGUCAUUACUUCCAUGUAUUAUCAUUAUUUAACUGUUAAUUUCACCAUGGAAUAGAACCGGCAUGUUGCCUUUCUUUCAGUUCAUUUUUGAACAUCAUGCCGUCCAAAGCGCCAACCAUCUACAACUGGGUUCCCUCAACUGAAACCAAGGAACAUUUGAAGGACUUCUUUUCCAUAGGGUUUUUGCCAGGGAAAACCGUCAUCUCUUACCGUGCCCCUGACCCGGAGGAAGAACGGCCCAAUCCAAGAGACGGGGAAGUGAUUGUUUUACUGACCAUAUGAACUGUGGCUUUUCACCGCCCAACUCAAAGUUCUUCAGAGAGGUCCUCCACCUUUUCAAACUCCACCCUCAAGAUAUCGGGCCCAACUCCAUAUCUAAUAUCUGCAAUUUCCAAGUGCUAUGUGAGGCGUACCUUCAGGAAGAGCCGACCGUGGAGCUGUUUAGAGAAUAUUUUUAUCUGAACCAGCAGAAUGAGUGCACCAACGGCCUUAGCUUGGAGCUUGGAGGCAUCUCAAUUUAGCGUCGGCAGGGCACUAUCUUCCCCCUCAUAGUCUUACCGAGUCAUCCCAAAGACUGGAACCAGACUUGGUUCUACUGUCAAGAUAUUUCACCAGCAAAUGAGAAGCCACUGUCGAGUUAUCGCGCCGAGCGUCUUGACUCCAAAUUCGCGCUCCCUAACAAGCUUACGGCUGCCGAACGUAGGAAGUUGAUCCCAUCCAUAAAAAGGAUUAAUGUAACACCCACGAUGCGGCUAUAUCUCCCACGUGUCGGAGCAUGACUUAGAGGCAUAGCCGCAUAGUAGGCAUGUCACAAGAGGGGUAAUCUUUACACAUCCCACGUAAUGAAUAAGAAAGGGAUAAAGAGUUGGCUUACAAUCGCCACUUCACACAAUACAUAAAUAUAGCAUUACAUCAACCAGAAUACAAUCAAGGUCCGACUACGGAACCAAAUAAAGAAACACAACCCCUAAUGCAAAAGAUCCCCGAUCUCCCCGACUGGGCUCCACUACUGAUCAACUGGAAAAAAAACACAACGAGCACGAUCUUCAUCAAGCUCCUCCUUGAGCUCGGUUGCGUCACCUGCAUGGUAUCAUCGGCACCUGCAACUGUUAGAAGUAAUCUGUGAGUCACGGGGACUCAGCAAUCUCACACCCGUGAGAUCAAGACUAUUUAAACUUAUGGGUGGGAAAAGGUAGUGAGGUGGAGCUGCAGCAAGCACUAGCAUAUAUGGUGGCUAACUUACGCAAAUGAGAGCGAGAAGAGAAGCAAAGCACGGUCUUGAACUAGAAGUGAUCAAGAAGUGAUCCUGAAACUACUUACGUUCAAGCAUAACUCCAAAACCGUGUUCACUUCCCGGACUCCACCAGAAAAAGACCAUCAUGGCUACACACGCGGUUGAUGCAUUUUAAUCGAGUUAAGUGUCAAGUUCUCUACAACCGGAUAUUAACAAAUUCCCAUCUGCCCAUAACCACGGGCAUGACUUUCGAAAGUUCAAAACCCUGCAAGGGUGUCCCAACUUAACCCAUCACAAGCUCUCACGAUCAACGAAGGAUAUUCCUUCUCCCAGGAAGACCCGAUCAGACUUGGAAUCCCGGUUACAAGACAUUUCGACAAUGGUAAAACAAGACCAGCAAAGCCGCCCGAUGCGCCGACAUCCUGAUAGGAGCUGCACAUAUCUCGUUCUUAGGGCAACACCGGAUGAGACAUGCUACGAGUAAAACCAACCCUCAAGUUUCCUCGAGGUGGUCCCCCAAUCUACUCAGUUCGGACCAACACUUAGAGAAGCACUGGCCCGGGGGGGGGGGGUUAAAAUAAAGAUGACCCUUGAGUCUACAGAACCCAAGGGAAGUGUAGGAUCUAGAAGUAGAUGUGUCUAGAGGGGGGUGAUUAGACACUUAGUGCUAAAGUUGCAAUUUUUAAGCUUUUUCGGUUUGAGUGGAGUUUUAGACACAAUUUCAACACACACAAUACAUAUCAAGCAAGCAUGCAAAGAGUAUAUGAGCAGCGAAAUGUAAAGCAUGCAACUUGCAAGAAUGUAAGGGGAAGGGUUUGGAGAAUUCAAACGCAAUUGGAGACACGGAUGUUUUUCCCGUGGUUCGGAUAGGUGGUGCUAUCCUACAUCCACGUUGAUGGACACUUCAACCCACAAAGGGUAACGGUUGCGAGAGUCCACGGAGGGCUCCACCCACAAAGGGCAACAGUUGUGCGAGUCCACAUAGGGCUCCACCCACGAAGGGUCCACGAAGAAGCAACCACCCACAUAGGGUCCACGAAGAAGCAACCUUGUCUAUCCCACCAUGGCCAUCGCCCACACAGGACUUGCCUCACUAGCGGUAGAUCUUCACGAAGUAGGCGAUCUCCUUGCCCUUACAAACUCCUUGGUUCAACUCCACAAUCUUGUCGGAGGCUCCCAAGUGACACCUAGCCAAUCUAGGAGACACCACUCUCCAAGAAGUAACAAAUGGUGUGUAGGUAAUGAACUCCUUGCUCUUGUGCUUCAAAUGAUAGUCUCCCCAACACUCAACUCUCUCUCAUAGGAUUUGGAUUUGGUGGAAAGAAGAUUUGAGUGGAAAGCAACUUGGGAAGGCUAGAGAUCAAGAUUCAUAUGGUAGGAAUGGAAUGUCUUGAUCUCAACACAUGAGUAGGUGGUUCUCUCUCAGAACAUAUGAGUUGGAAUUGUGUAUGUGUUCUGAUGGCUCUCUCCUCGAAUGAAGAGGUGGUGGAGGGGUAUAUAUAGCCUCCACACAAAAUCCAACCGUUACACACAGUUUUCCAAUCUCGGUGGGACCGAAUCAACAAACUCGGUCGGACCGAAAUGUAAACCUAGUGACCGUUAGAGAUUUUCGGUGGGACCGACUGGAUCAACUCGGUGGGACCGAUGUGCUAGGGUUAGGGUAAAUCCAAAACUCGGUUUGACCGAUUACUCAAACUCGGUGGGACCGAUUUGGGUAAUAAGUGAAACUGAGAUUUGGUCAAGCAAACUCGGUGGGACCGAUUGCAUAUCUCGGAGGGACCGAGAAUAUUGCAAUGGGUAACAGAGAGUUUGCAAGCCCAUCUCGGUGAGACCGAGAUCCCAUCGGUGAGACCGAACUGAUUAGGGUUUGGCAGUGGCUUAUGACAAGUGAAACUCGGUGGCGCCGGAUAGGAAGAAUAGGUAGGACCGAGUUUGGCUUAGGGUUUAGGUCAUAUGUGGAAGUGGGAAAGUAGCCGAGGAUUUUGGAGCAUAUCAUUAAGCACAUGAAGCAAGAGGCUCAUUAAGCAACACCUCAUCCCUCCUUGAUAGUAUUGGCUUUUCUUAUGGACUCAAUGUGAUCUUGGAUCACUAAAAUGUAAAAUGAGGAGUCUUGAGCUUGAAGCUUUAGCCAAUCCUUUGUCCUUAGCAUCUUGAAGGAGUUCCCACAACCUUUAGUCCCUGCCACUCUGAAACAUGCUAGAUAGAAAUGUUAGUCCAACAAGAGAUAUGUUGUCAUCAAUUAUCAAAACCACCUAGGGAGCACUUGUGCUUUCAAUCUCCCCCUUUUUGGUAAUUGAUGGCAACAUACAUCAAAGCUUUAGAUAAAGAUAUAAAGAACAGCAAGUAAAGCUUUGGAAGGACAUGUAACAAGCAUAGACUCCCCCUACAUGUAUGCACUCAUGUAAAUAUGAAAUAUAGAGGCAUGUGAGAGCAUAACCAUGACAGAGUAGGCAAUGUGUUACAUGUAUCUUGGCCAUAUGCAUCAGAGCAAAAGAUUAUCAAGGAAAAAUACCUUCAUGCUCAUGAGUCCUUCUUGCAAACAGUAUGUACAUAAGCAAGAACUCCUCAUACUCAUGAUUUUGAUGCAUAUACUUACCUUGUGGUCUUGAGUUGGCUUUGGAUGGAAUGAACCUGCACAAACAAAGUUAGAUAACACAGGUACAUUCACUAGCCAGAGCAAACAAAAGAAACCACAAGAAUACCAAGACUGGGAUGACAUGUAGAGAGUGAGUAUAAGGUACCACAUUGGAUUCAACAUGUCCCCAAGAAUAAAGAUAUGCAAUGAAUUUGACUGAUUUCUUUCCCUUAGGUGUCUUGCUCCCCCUGAAUCUUACAUGGGAUAUUGGGAGAAGAUAAGGAACAGCAAAUCAGAGCUGGAAGAUACAAAUGAACAUGUCUUUCCCCCUAAAAAGACAUGUGACAUCUCUCCUCUUGAACAUCAAGCAUCAAGCAUCUGGGAUCCUUGAGUAUUCUCUCCCCCUGGAAGUCUCUCUCUCCCCCUUAACUUGUAGGUUUGGUCCUUGAGACUUUUUCUCUCCCUUGAUGUGAUCUCUCUCUCCUACAAGCUUUGAUGUGAUCUCUCUCUCCCCCUUUGACAUCAAUUUACAAGAAGGGCUUUCUGGAAUCCGUAGUAUAGGUUUGGUCCUUGAGACUCAGCACAAAGCAAAGGAUAAAAUUGUGAUGCUUGUAGAGGACAAGAUUCAUUGAGUGGAGCUGGAUCAGAAGAAAUGUAGAACAAGUGGCAAACUGUUUUUCUGAUUGCAAAGUCGGUGGCACCGAGUGGCAUAUUUCGGUGGUACCGAAAAGAUUCGGUUGGACCGAAAAUUGCAAGUCGGUGAAACCGAGUUUACACAGAGAAAAACACUUGUCACCUCAGCUCACUAGACAUGUAGGAUCUCACAAAGAUUUGCAAUGAAUUACCUGAAGGAUUUGCAAGGAAUUAAAUGCAGAAAAUGCAGAACAAAAACAAAGAGAAAAGAGAAGAAACUGAAAGAUCUAGAUGAAGUUUUUUUUUGAAAAGGGAGAGAGAAAAUAAACAUGCAUGAGACAAAUGCAAUAACACAAAGAAAGAACACAAGAGAGCUUCAUCUAGAGUUGGGCGGUGACAUAGUCACCUAUGUUAGAGUAUAUUGACUUAGGAGUCAAGUGAGAACACUUGAUCAUAGGUCAUACUCAUCGUUUAAGCUCAAAAUGGGGUUACCAUUUUUCGUAUAAACAUCUUGAUGUAUUCACAUCUUGUUGAGUUUCUUUGACUCAUGUCUUGGAGUAAAGCUUCCCUAAGAUGGAAUAACAUACCUUGGGUGGUGGUGUGGUUCUUGCUCAUGUAGUUGAACUUGUGUGGGUGCUCAAGGUUGAUGUAGCUCAUCAAGAGUUGGGAGCACCACUUGGAGUUUGAGUUCAUCUACCUACAUGGGUUAGUUCUUGCAAGGAAGAGCACUUGUGUAUCCAAAAAUGACAAUCAUGAAGCUUAACAUAGAAUUUGUCAAAGGAUAUGUUUGAAUGGUUUUGUGCUUCCUUGUCUUCAACCACCAUUGUGUAGAGUCUUGGUGAUGUAGAGAUUGCUCAAGAUGUGAGUGAUUCGCAAUCUCAUGGAAUUAGAUUCAACCAAGCACCUACAUGGGUUAGACAACAUGCAAGGUACAAAUAUAUCCAAGACAUAAGAUAGUUAUCAUAAGAGAUAUAUCAUGGAUUAGUCAUAAGCUCAUGUCUUGCAUGUAUCCAAUGGAGUUUCUACUCCAAGUUCAAAGCAUCAAUGAUGUUUAAUUCUCCUCUCAACCUGCAAAACACUUUCUCAUCAAGAGGUUUAGUAAAUAUAUCCGCUAAUUGCUUAUCGGUGCAAACAUGCUUAAGAUUAAUGUCACCCUUAGCAACAUGAUCUCGAAUGAAAUGAUGACGAACUUCAAUAUGAUUAGUUCGAGAAUGUUGUACAGGAUUAUGACCAAUUUUGAUAGCACUUUCAUUGUCACAAAGCAGUGGAACAUGUUUCACAUAAAUCCCAUAAUCUUUAAGAGUUUGGGUCAUCCAAAGUAAUUGAGCACAACAUGAACCAGCGGCAAUGUAUUCCGCUUCGGCGGUGGAUAAGGAUACCGAGUUUUGUUUCUUGGAAGACCAAGACACAAGGGAUCUACCAAGAAAUUGACAAGUACCCGAAGUGGACUUUCUAUCAACCUUGUCUCUGGCAUAAUCCGAGUCGGAAUAGCCAACAAGAUCAAAAGAAGACCUCUUAGGAUACCAAAUGCCAAAAUUUGGUGUAUGGAUUAAAUAUCUCACUAUCCUUUUUACAGCCUUAAGAUGACAAUCUUUAGGAGCAGCUUGAUAUCGUGCACACAUACACACACUUAGCAUAAUAUCGGGACGUGAAGCACAUAGGUAUAACAAUGAACCAAUCAUAGAGCGAUAAACCUUUUGAUCAACUGGUUCACCAUCUUUGGUCAAAUCAUUAUGUCCACUAGUAGGCAUGGGUGUAGACAUACCUUUGCAUUCUUGCAUAUUGAACUUCUUGAAUAAGUCCUUGGUGUACUUUGUUUGAGAGACAAAUGUACCUUCCUUAGUUUGCUUGAUUUGCAAACCGAGAAAGAAUUUGAGUUCACUCAUCAUAGACAUCUCAAACUUCUCUGACAUUAGCUUUCCAAACUUUUCACUAAAGAGAGGGUUAGUUGAACCAAAUAUGAUAUCAUCGACAUAAAUUUGGCAUACAAAUAGUUCUCCAUUAACCCUUUUAGUAAAAAGAGUAAAAUCAAUUUUACCAAUUUCAAAACCACUUGUAGUAAGGAACUUGGUCAAGCAUUUAUACCAUGCUCUAGGAGCUUGUUUAAGACCAUAAAGAGCCUUGUGAAGUUUGUAAACAUGAUUUGGUUUCUUAGGAUUGAUAAAGCCUGGAGGUUGUUUGACAUAAACUUCCUCCUCUAUUUCACCAUUUAGAAAAGCACUUUUAAUGUCCAUUUGGUACAAGGUGAUAUUAUGGUGAUUAGCAUAGGCAAGUAAGAUGCGAAUGGACUCAAGUCUAGCAACGGGAGCAUAUGUCUCACCAUAGUCCAUACCUUCGACUUGUGUGUACCCUUGGGCGACGAGACAUGCUUUGUUGCGAACCACUUGUCCAUCUUCAUCUUGCUUGUUGCGAAACACCCAUUUGGUACCAAUGAUGUUGUGGUUGUUGUCGGGCUUCUCAACCAAUGUCCAAACUUGGUUUCUCUCAAAAUUAUGUAGCUCUUCAUGCAUAGCGUUUAUCCAAUCCGGAUCUUCCAAUGCUUCUUCAACCUUCAUAGGUUCAAUGCUAGAGAUGAAUGAAUAGUUUUCACAAAAGUUAGCUAAACGAGUUUUUGAGCGAGUGAUUCUCCCGGUUUGUAUAUCAUUGAGGAUUUGCUCAACGGGAUGAUCUUUGGCAAUUCUUGCUCGAACUCGUGAGAGCUUUUGCUUGGGUCUUCGUUGAGCAUCUUCUUCAUCUUGUUCUUCUUCUUGGCCUUCUUCAUUGUUGACGUCGUCGUUCUCUUGUCGUGGUGGAGAAGGAGGUUGUUGAUGUUCGUCUUGAUGUAUUUCCUCGUUUUCUUCAUCUUGGUGUGUCCCACUUGUGGAUGCUUCCGUGUCGAUUCUUGGUUCACCUUGUCGUGAAGUAGAAGCUUCCACUUGGACGGAUGAAGUAUUCUCCUUCACCUCCGUUGGACAAAUUUUGCCAAUGGACAAGUCUUGAAUUGCUUCUGAGGGGUCUUUGUCUCCUACAUCAAUUGGCAAUUUAUCUACUUGCGAGCCAUUAGAUUCAUCAAACUUCACAUCUACCGUCUCUUCAACCUUUUGGGUGAAAUUGUUGUAGACACGGUAAGUGUGAGAGUUUGAGCCAUAACCAAGUAGAAAACCUUCAUGAGAUUUAGGAGCAAACUUUGAACGACGAUGCUUAUCAAGAAUGUAGCACUUUGAGCCGAAUACUCGAAAGUAUCCAACUUGGGGUUUGUUACCGGUGAGAAGCUCGUAUGCCGUCUUGCCGAGUAGCUUGUGAAGAUACAAGCGAUUUGUUGCGUGACAAGCUGUCUCAACCGCUUCUGCCCAAAAGUGCUUUGGCGUCUUGUAUUCAUCAAGCAUCGUUCUUGCCAUUUCGAUGAGCGUCCGGUUCUUCCUCUCAACAACUCGAUUUUGUUGAGGUGUGUACGUGGCCGAGAACUCGUGUGAAAUCCCUUCUUCGUCAAGAAAGGUGUCCACAUUUGCGUUCUUGAACUCCGUUCCGUUGUCACUCCGAACCUUCUUGAUCUUCAUGUCAAACUGAUUUUGGGCCUUCCUAGCGAAGUUUCUGAAGAUCUUCUGGACCUGCGACUUGUCAUUAAGAAAGAACACCCACGUAAAUCUUGAAAAAUCAUCAACUAUAACUAGACCAAAAGAAUUUCCACCGAGACUCUUGUAGGCGUUGGGACCAAAAAGAUCCAUGUGAAGUAGCUCGAGUGGCCUCCGUGUGGUCAUGAUGUUCUUCACGGGAUGUCUUCCUCCAACCUGUUUACCUGCUUGACAAGCACUGCAAAGUCUAUCCUUAUCAAAUAUGACAUCGUUAACUCCAAGGAUAUGAUUUCCUUUAAUAAGCUUGUCAAGGUUUCUCAUGCCAACGUGACCUAGUCGUCUAUGCCACAACCAACCUUUUGAGGAUUUAGCAACAAAGCAAGUUUUAGGUUGUGCCUUUUUAGAGAAAUCGACGAUGUAAAGAUCACCUCUACGCAUACCGUUCAAAACCAUUUUAUGAUUGUCUCGACGAAAUACUUGGCAAUCUACCUCAGUAAAUAGGACAUUCAAACCGAAAUCAGCAAGUCUAGAUACUGAAAGUAAGUUGUAGCCAAGAGAUUCAACGAGCAUGACAUUUUGAAUGGAACUAUCAUGUGAGAUGGCCACCUUACCAAGGCCAACCACUUUACCCUUUGAAUUAUCACCAAAGGUGACAUAUUUUCGAGGGCCGUCAUUUUCAGCAAGCUCACGAAACAUCUCUUCAUCUCCGGUCAUACGAUCAGUACAUCCACUAUCAAGAACCCAUUCCUUUCCUCCUGAUUCAUAUCCCCGAAGAUUUGCCAUAAGACCAAAAUGUCUCAUUGCAUCAUCAAGAUCGAAGUCACUAUCAUCAUCAUCAUAGUAUCCAUGUUCAUCAUGAUCUUGUGACUCAUCAUUUCCUAGAGAGGGUAAUUCAUUAGAUAAAUGAUCAUCAAAGUGGUCACUUCUAUGAAUUCUUAUAGCUUUGAAUAUGAUAUCAUUAAUGAUUCCAACAUCUCCUUUAGCAAGCUUAAGAUUGGUAAGUUCAAAUAGACAAUUACCAAAACUAGGAUCACUAGAGUUCAUCUUACUCAAGGCAAUAGAUUUAUGGAGAAUUUCAUCCAAAGUUUUCAAGGAAUGAUCGGGAAAUCAUUCCUCAAGAAAUUUCCAUAUAGUAUAGGCACAAUUAAGAGUAGGCAAACUAGCAAUCAAAUUUUUGGGCAAUCCUCUAAUGAUGAGCUCAAUAGUUCUAAGAUUGCGAAUCAUGUCAAUAUCUUCAUCUAGGGUAGGAUGCAAAGGAUCAAUAUGAGGUGCACAAGGGCUAGCAAUAUACUUGUUCAAAUGAUAUUGAUUGAAGAUUACAAGCAUCUCAUUUUUCCACUCACGAAAAUACUCUCCAUCAAGAAUAGGCACUCUAUGUCUAAGACUCCCUAAUGUAGACACAUCCAUCUUCCUCCAAUGGUGAUUAAACCAAGGCAAUGGAGACCAAAGCUCUGAUACCACUUGUAGGAUCUAGAAGUAGAUGUGUCUAGAGGGGGGUGAUUAGACACUUAGUGCUAAAGUUGCAAUUUUUAAGCUUUUUCGGUUUGAGUGGAGUUUUAGACACAAUUUCAACACACACAAUACAUAUCAAGCAAGCAUGCAAAGAGUAUAUGAGCAGCGGAAUGUAAAGCAUGCAACUUGCAAGAAUGUAAGGGGAAGGGUUUGGAGAAUUCAAACGCAAUUGGAGACACGGAUGUUUUUCCCGUGGUUCGGAUAGGUGGUGCUAUUCUACAUCCACGUUGAUGGAGACUUCAACCCACAAAGGGUAACAGUUGCGAGAGUCCACGGAGGGCUCCACCCACAAAGGGCAACGGUUGCGUGAGUCCACACAGGGCUCCACCCACGAAGGGUCCACGAAGAAGCAACCACCCACAAAGGGUCCACGAAGAAGCAACCUUGUCUAUCCCACCAUGGCCAUCGCCCACACACGACUUGCCUCACUAGCGGUAGAUCUUCACGAAGUAGGCGAUCUCCUUGCCCUUACAAACUCCUUGGUUCAACUCCACAAUCUUGUCGGAGGCUCCCAAGUGACACCUAGCCAAUCUAGGAGACACCACUCUCCAAGAAGUAACAAAUGGUGUGUAGGUAAUGAACUCCUUGCUCUUGUGCUUCAAAUGAUAGUCUCCCCAACACUCAACUCUCUCUCAUAGGAUUUGGAUUUGGUGGAAAGAAGAUUUGACUGGAAAGCAACUUGGGAAGGCUAGAGAUCAAGAUUCAUAUGGUAGGAAUGGAAUGUCUUGAUCUCAACACAUUAGUAGGUGGUUCUCUCUCAGAACAUAUGAGUUGGAAUUGUGUAUGUGUUCUGAUGGCUCUCUCCCCGAAUGAAGAGGUGGUGGAGGGGUAUAUAUAGCCUCCACACAAAAUCCAACCGUUACACACAGUUUUCCAAUCUCGGUGGGACCGAAUCAACAAACUCGGUCGGACCGAAAUGUAAACCUAGUGACCGUUAGAGAUUUUCGGUGGGACCGACUGGAUCAACUCGGUGGGACCGAUGUGCUAGGGUUAGGGUAAAUCCAAAACUCGGUUUGACCGAUUACUCAAACUCGGUGGGACCGAUUUGGGUAAUAAGUGAAACUGAGAUUUGGUCAAGCAAACUCGGUGGGACCGAUUGCAUAUCUCGGUGGGACCGAGAAUAUUGCAAUGGGUAACAGAGAGUUUGCAAGCCCAUCUUGGUGAGACCGAUAUCCCAUCGGUGAGACCGAACUGAUUAGGGUUUGGCAAUGGCUUAUAACAAGUGAAACUCGGUGGCGCCGGAUAGGAAGAAUCGGUAGGACCGAGUUUGGGUUAGGGUUUAGGUCAUAUGUGGAAGUGGGAAAGUAGCUGAGGAUUUUGGAGCAUAUCAUUAAGCACAUGAAGCAAGAGGCUCAUUAAGCAACACCUCAUCCCUCCUUGAUAGUAUUGGCUUUUCUUAUGGACUCAAUGUGAUCUUGGAUCAGUAAAAUGUAAAAUGAGGAGUCUUGAGCUUGAAGCUUUAGCCAAUCCUUUGUCCUUAGCAUCUUGAAGGAGUUCCCACAACCUUUAGUCCAUGCCACUCCAUUGUUGAACUUAUCUGAAACAUGCUAGAUAGAAAUGUUAGUCCAACAAGAGAUAUGUUGUCAUCAAUUAUCAAAACCACCUAGGGAGCACUUGUGCUUUCAGGAAGGUGAUAGGUUGUUAGUGCAAAAGUAAAACCAAGGUUGGGCCUUGCUGGAGGAGUUUUAUUCAAAGCGAACUGUCAAGGGGUUCCCAUUAUAACCCAACCGCGUAAGGAACGCAAAAUAAAGGAACAUAACACCGGUAUGACGGAAACUAGGGCGGCAAGAGUGGAACAAAACACCAGGCAUAAGGCCGAGCCUUCCACCCUUUACCAAGUAUGUAGAUGCAUUAAGUAAAUAAGAUAUAUUGUGAUAUCCCAAACAAAUCCAUGUUCCAACAUGGAACAAACUCCAAUCUUCACCUGCAACUAACAACGCUAUAAGAGGGGCUGAGCAAAGCAGUAACAUAGCCAAACAAUGGUUUGCUAGGAAAGGCGGGUUAGAGGCUUCACAUGGCAAUAUGGGAGGCAUGAUAUAUUAAGUGGUAGGUAUCGCGGCAUAGCAAAAGAGCGAGCAACUAGCAAGCAAAGAUAGAUGUGAUUUCGAGGGUAUGGUCAUCUUGCCUAAAAUCCCGCAAGGAAGAAGAACGAGUCCAUGAAGAAGACAAGCGGACGUAGUCGAAUGAAUCCUCACAACUCCGGAACGGAACCAAAGCUAACGAGAGAAGUGACCCGGAAAGAAGCAAGCAACAUAGUAAACAACCAUCACAUAAUCAUGACAUGAUGCACAACCAAGUAGGAUGCAUGUCCGGUUAAUGAGGCAUGUCAUGGCAAGGUGCACAAAUAACACUACAAAUUAAGUGGAGCUCAAUAUGCAACGGAGUUGCAUAUUGAAGAAAACACCACAUGACUUAUUUAGUUCUCUCUCGUUUAGGUACUCAACAAUAUUAAAUGUUGGUUAGCAUAGCAAGAGGUGAGGCAUAACAAAACUAUACUGUCUAGACAAAUUAAAUGGGGCCGGAUAUAACAAACAACAAAUUCGGUAAAUCCCCAUAUGCAUUAGCAAUUUAAAGCAACAACAAUUUUAAACAUUUUAAAUGUUAUUAUCAUGAUGCGGAUGACAUGCAAGUUUUAUGCAAUAUUUAUUAAAAAUUGACAUGAGCAUGAUGAGAGCAUUUGUCAUCGUGGCGGAAACAAAAGGGGUGCCACGGCGACGAUAAUGAAACGGUGCCAUGGCAACGUUCUGGUUCCGACAACUCAUUGAGACGCCGGUGCAACAGAAAGUGUGGCGGGAGAAUGCAAAAGAUGGUGGGGUGAUCCCGGUUACCGGGUGUCCCAUGAGUCGAUGGCAAGGAAGCGAGAGACACUACGGACACGGUGCAGACAAAGGGUACAUGCCAUACAACACAACAAUCAUUCUUGGAAGGUCAUCUCGGCGGUUAUACCUUUGUAGCGUGCAUUAUCGGAGCGGUUCGCGUUCGAUGCGGUGUAGGGGAAGUAGAUGUUCUCGGGAUGUCCAUAGUGGAAUUAGUGGUACUAUUGGCCAUCGAUGAUCAAUGGGACGGUAGUGGAAGUAGAGGUACACGACGUCUUGUCCAAAAUCAUGGCGGUAGUAGUUGUACCCCUGUUGUCAUCGAACUUGAUGGAACCAAUGUCCUCGAGGGUAGUCGUGGGAAGUAGUCGUACUCGCGAACUUAUCGGAUCCACGGGGACGGUAGUUGUUCCCGGCGCUUGUGACUCGCGGUACUUCGGGCAACAGUAGUCGUACACGUCCAUAGAUGUUCGGGGUCGCGACAUGGAACUUGACGUCCACGGGGUCUUCGAGGGUCAACGGUAGUGGUACUCGGGUCGUCGGUGACGGUAGUUGUUCUAUGCAUCGGGCAUCAAUGUACUUGUUGUUCUUAGCGAUUCCGAAGACGGCGGUAGUGGUACACUUUCGAAAAGGGACUUGACGCAUCAAAGGUCUUCGGUGCCACGGUACUUGUAGGUCCGGGUCUUGACGUAUCCAAAAUGGUCAUCGGUGGUGGAACUUGGCGCUGUUGUGGUGGACGUUCGGGCACCGUGCGUCGUGGUACUUGGCGUUCUCAUCCUUGUCAAUCCAAAACAACACUAACCCCAAAAGGCCUCUGGUGGGCAGUAGGAAGGACUAGCGGUGCGUGAGCAGCGGCAGGAAGCGGGCACGCUCAAGGGAGAGCAGCAGAGGCCAGUAGCAACAGACGAUGGUGGAUUUGGGCAACAGGCGCGACGACGCUGGGAACCGGGCGGACGCAAGCAGGUCCGGGCGGCGCCAGCAGCAGAGUUCGUCGGAGAGAGCAGCUCGGGCAGGAGUUCGUCAGCACGGGGAGGAGGCUGGCCGAGGCCAUGGACGCAGCAGCAGGGCGACGCCGGACAUUGAACGGCGAGGGUGAGGGGGGUCCAGCGGAGCUCGGGCUCCCGGCUAGAAGGACGAACGGGGAGGAGGAGAUCCGGCGCGGGCACGGGGUUCUUGAAGGUCGAGGUCGCCGAGUAGCCGCGGAGGUGGACUUGGCGCUUGCUCCAGCGAAAAGACGGACGACGAGGCGUCUGAGGCAGGGAAGGAGCACGGGCGACGCGCUUGGGGGCCGGCACGGUGGUCUCCAUGGUCGUGCGGUCCACGAGAAGGUACAUGGCAGCGCCCCUCGCCGGAGGCAGGGAGGCAGCAGUGAUCCGGCGAGGCGGUGCAGUAGAGGUAGGCAAGGGGACGCAAGCUCCUAGCACUAGCUACGGGGAGCUGUGCGGGUGUGUGUGUGUGCGCGGCGGCGGUGAGGGAACGAGAGGAGAAGCGGGGAUCGAGGCUAGGGAGCGGCGGUAGCGGGAGGACGCGAGGGAGCGAUGGGAGAGGGAGAGAGCGAUGCGAGAGAGGCCGAGGCCUAGGGUUAGGGCAUGCGGGCUGGGCCUGCUGGAGCACAGCUGGGCCUAGCAGGCCGGCCCAGUGGGGAGGGUGCCGGCUGAAGGGCUUGCGGGGUUGGGCUCUGUCUCUCUCUCUCUUAACCCCUCUUCUAUUGCCCAAAAAAAGAAAAAAAACAACAAAGGAAAGAAAAAGAAAAGAAGGGCGGAGACAGGAUUUGGGCACGGGGAUAAUUUUCCCGAACUCAUAAAAAUAUGCUUGUUCCGAGAAAAUAGAAAAGGUGAAGAUUGAAAGAUGUAACAUUCAAACUCGUUUGAAUUUAAUUCCAACGGGUUUGAACUAGGACCAGAUUUAAGAGUGGCCAAAAUAUUGAGAUUUUUGAUGGAGCUCCGAAAAUUGAAGAAAGAGUUUAUGGGCAAAGUUUGAGGACCAAACUUGAAGCGGAAAAAGGCAUGUGAUUAUUUGCAAGUGUGUUAAAGGUAAUUCCAAAAAAAUGGAAUAAUUUUAUUAUAGCUCCCUAAUAGUAUUGAGAGGCUUUAAUAUGUUAUAAAGAGAAAUCACAAGUGAAUUCCCUCGAUUUAAAUGGAUCGAAGACCCAUACAGUUUAUUUAGUUGAGUUAAGAAAAAGAAAUGGCAUGAUGGCAUGAUGACAUGAUGCAAUGCACACGAUGCAAAGAUAAAUGCAAUGAACCAAACAAAUCACACGACGGAACCCGUAAUCCCUGGAAGGCAUCUGAAGCUCCGGUCUUGGGGCGUCACAACACUCCACCACUACGAGAGGAUCCCGUCCCGAGAUCUAGGAUGGCACCGGAGAGAAAAGGAGGGGAAGAUAAGAGGUAAAACUAAGUUGCUUCUUUGACAAACGAGUGAAACCACGAACCUUGGGAGGUUGAGCAAAUUGAAAGAAAGAAUACAACGAAGAUGAACAAAGUUGAAAACAAUCCGUUAGAAAAGAGGAACAAGGAACAUUACGGGAACCUUGUAGGUUGGCAGACAUAAGAAAAGGGUUUCAAUGGACAAGAAGUACAUGCAAACACUCCCGUUGAAACAAGAUGUACAAGGAACGAUAAAGAUCAAUUAUGACAACACUCCGGUUGGAAAUGGAAGGUAAAGACUAUGAACUUGGCAAAAAUGAAAGCACUUAGAUGAGACUUUGGUUAGAAGAGGAAUGAUAGCCACAACACUCCAGUUAAAACAAAAUAGAGAAGGAAUAAGGAUGAUAUAAUUUGGACAUCACUCCGACUGUAAAUGGAAGGAAUUGAAGACGAGCUUGAAAAGAUGAGAAGAUACUUGACGAAAUCCACAACACACUGCCUCCGGAACUAUUUAAAGAAAGGCACAAUGGGUAAGAAAGAUUUCAGACAGCACUCCGUUUGAGAAGGAAGGCAAAACUUGAUAAGAUGAGAGAACUUGGAAAGAUGGCACGCCACUCCGGUUAAAUGGAUAAGCAUGAAAAGAACAUGGUCCUAACAAUCCGAGAUGAUGAGUGAAGAGAGCAACAUCACAAUGCCUCCGGAACGAAUGAAUGGAAACCUAGAUGGUUGGAAAGAAAAGAACGGAAAAGAAGAAUGACAACUCUCGCAAAUAAAAUUCAAAGAGCAUGUUUACAAAGAAAAGGUUGAACGGAGUUGUUGGAUUAUCAACAACGAAAAGAGUAAGCUUGAAGUGGGCUUAUGGAAAACAUCCCAAAAUUAUGAGGUGAAAUUCUUCCACUAACGAAACAAUAGAUUGGUUGAUAUCAACAAGGAGACGAUAAACUUAUUCACCGGGAGGAUAAAUGAAGAACUUGGGUCAUUUAUGAGCACCAUAAAUAGCAACAAUCCUUAGGGAAGGCUUUAGGUGAAACAUGGCACAAGAUAACUCCAACGAAGAGGUUGAUUGGUUGAAAAGAUGUCUUGAGCGAAGAGAAAAUGAUGGAUUUAGAUAUGUCACUCUUGAAAAACUUGUGAAUCGUGAAACAUGAAGGGAAAAUUAUCAAUAAUGACAUAACACCACCUCAAAAGAUAAGAUAGAACGAAGAGGACUUUGGGAUGCAAGAUGCAGAAUGCUUGAACUCCUCUGAAAAGAAUCUCAAUGAACACUUCGAGAAGAAAUAGAAUCCUUGAUCAACCAUCAUGUAGAGCCUCCAUGAAGAACUCCGGUAAGAAAAUAAUGAACAAACGAAAGGAAAGAGAAGUUGAAAACACAAGGUGAAGAUUUGCAAUGAUUAGAUGGAUCUUCGUGAUGAUAUAAUGCGAAAAACAUGGAACUCCGGAAAAGAAAAGAUAAAGAAUCUCGAACCGAGAAUGUGAUAUGAUGAACCACUCCGGAAAGCAGAAAUUGGAUUUACUCGAUGAAACAAGAAUAAGAAUUACAUUAUGCUUAUCCUUCAUCAAUUUAGAUUGAUGACAAGUAUGGAUUUGGCAUACUACUUAUUCUCGUUGAAAGGAUUAAGAGAGAUAUGGCGCAAACUAGAGAAGAUCUUCAAUGAACCACCGGUAGGAUUGAAACAACGAAUAAAUUGAUAUGAUAAACGAAGGAAGAAGAAUCUUGGAAGAACCAUCGUAAGAAUUAAAAAUGAAAGAAGAUACUUGAGAAGAAUUUAGAUACAAGUGAAACGAAGAGAUCAUGAACUGAUUAGAGGACAUUUGAAUGAUGCACCGGUAUGAUUUGGAGAACGAGAGCUGAAAGCUGAGAAUGAAUAAUCUUGCAAUGAUGGUCUUCGGAGAAUCAAACUGAAAAGACUCUUGAGUUGCUACGGAUGGUUGAAAAGAAUUCUCACAAUCGGAAAAAAUUAUGAGCGGAUGACAUCAAGCUAGAACCGCGAAUCUUGAGAUAACGAAUAAGAUUGCAGAGAAAAACUCUUCUUCGGUCUUCACAUGUUGAGAAUGAUGACGAGAAACACUACCAAGAAUUUUUAGACACUCCGGGAGAAUCAAAAGCGAAGAGGUUGAGCCAACGAUGAAAAGAAUUUGACAGAUCUUGGAGAAAGGCAUUUGACUGAUGAAAAUUCAUUCUUACGUCAAACUUUGAAAUGAAUUCGAGAAUAGCUCCGAGAAAAAAUUAGAAGAGUCAGGUAAGAUCCUGGGAAAAGACCUGUGGGUUAGGGCCCACUCAAAAGAAACACCGUUGAAGGAUUUAAAAGAUAUAUUGCAUCGGUUGAAUUAAAUGGCUUGAAUGAGAUAACAUCCUCAAAAUAGCUUGAACGGAUACAAAGUGGAAACACGAAUCUUCGAGAUAUCUUCAGCACUCCGGAAAAAUUGAAUAGCGAGGAGUGGAUGAUUAAGAGGUGCACCGGCAUGGGAAAGCAUUUGAAACAAAGAAAGGAUAUGAUCAACCAAGCUUGACUUGAAUCCACCGGGGAAGAAAAGAACGAAAAUGAUGAACUUGAAGCUCCGUUACAAUCUUCAAGAGAAUCACCGGAUACGAACAUUGAUUGAAAAGAAUGGAGAGACUUCAUAUGAGUAAAAUGAUACUUGAUUAAGAAAUCUGAGUCCUUGAAGAAAAAGGGGUGGCUGGGCGGGAAAACAAAGACAACUUGGGACAAAUGAAACAAACACCAUUGAGAAAGCUUUGAGUUGAACUUGCGGAUGUUGGAAUGAUCGGAUCCACUUGACGAGAAGCACACCGGUUGAAAAGGAUUGACAUGACAAUCUCGAUUAUUAGGAAGGAUUAGUAUUCACAUAGGAAUAUGAGAACACCACUAAGGAAAAGGCAUGGAAUCAACACUUGACAUUGAAGCAACUCGAAUACCACAACUGAAAACAAAACAAAGGAUUGGCUUGCAGAAUAAGCUGGAACAAACAUAUGAUAGAGAUUUCGUCUGAAGUUUUCGUGGUGGGGCCCACACGGGCUCGAUCGUACAGCACCAUCAUGUACAAGGCAGUGCACAUGACAUACGAAGCGUCCCCGAGUCAGCAUAGCCAAGGACUCUUUAAGACACAACGAGACCACUGUAAAACCAACUGUGGAUAGGCGGACCACUAGACGUCGAACCCCAAUCUCAUAUCAUGCAUCUGUCGGAAAGAUAUCCUAGGAGCUACUUGAAUUCCCACUUAUAAACUCCUGAAACUUUCUGGUUAUGCAAUCAGAUGUUGGGGAUACAGGGGAAGCAUAAUAUCUCACCCAAAACUAGCAAAUCCUACAUCCAGCUGUAUCCAUCCUUCAACACAUAACCAAGAAACCUUCGGAAACCAUUUACCUCAACCUUCAAAAAGCAUCCGUUAUACGAGUUAUGGCAAUACUCCCAAACUCCCGCCCCAGUACUGGGUGGCGUCGAGGUUAUCUCACCAACAACUACAUAAAAGAGAUUUUCGAUGUCGGCGAAACUCAGGUAUUCCAGAACUGCAAGAUAAAAUUGUGACGACAACACCUCGGAGCUUAACUCCACGGGACACCGCCACAACCUCUAAAUGUCAGGAGCCACCAAGAACAAUGUUCUCGUCAGAAAACCAUCGGAACGAUUCCAAGAUACCCGCGUGAUCCUAAAAAAAAUCGUGAAAUUUUAGGAGAGAAGAGUCAAAACUCUACGUCAAGAGGCCUCACCAGAGCGAUGAAGGGACUGAAGAGUAAAAAGAAUCCUACUCUCCGAUAUAUAUAAUCCUAUAAGACUCAAAACAUUUUUCUAGACUCAACAACGCCAGUGAUUCGAUCAAGCAGGGGGCUCCUAAGUCGGGGAAUGCUCUCAAAAAGGAGUUCACUCCUUUGUGGAUGUACUUCAUUAGCUUUUGCCCCGCGGUUCACUUGCCCUCGUCACUGCGGUCCACUCUCGUUUAUAAAAAAUGUUGAAAAAAAGACAACAAAAACUCGUUUGAGAAAAAAUUACAUUCGACAAAAUAAAUCAUGUUCACUUGACCGUCUGAUGAAGUGCGGUUUCUAGUCUGAAGUAGUGCGUUCUUCUGUCUAAUGAAGUGCACACGUCGAUUUUAGUGCUUGUUUGAGAUAAAAAUUUCGUCUGAGAAAAGAAACCAUGAAGUUUACUUGACCGUCUGAUGCAGUGUGGUUUUUAGUCUGAAGCAGUGCGUUCUUCUGCCUGAUGAAGUGCACACGUCGAUUUUAGUGCUUGUUUGGGAAAAACAUUGUUUGAGAAAAGAAACCAUGAAGUUCACUUGACCGUCUGAUGAAGUGCGGUUUUUAGUCUAAAAGCAGUGCGGUUUUCUGUCUGAUGCGGUACAUACGAUGAUUUGAUGUCAUGAAAAAACAGUCUCCGCAUUUUGUUAAAAUAAAAAUUGCUCUUAAACCGCAAAGAAUCAGAGAGAGUGCUCUACAUGAAAAAGUUGCGUCUCAUUGAUAUCUUUCCAACGGCGCAUAAUUUGAAUUAUUUUGACAAGCGGUUUGUAAAAAUUUCGCGAAAAGCGGCCGCUGCCUCUCGUCGUCAGUCGCACGAUUUUCAAAAUUAACUAAAAACUCUAAGGAAUCUCAAAACCAUUUCAACAUAUGAAAGUUGCGCCUCGUCCGUAGCUUUCCAGCGGCGUAUCACACAUCUCGUUCUGACAAUUAGUUCAAAAACUGGAGCGAAAACAAUACACAAAUUGCAAAAAAAUCAAAAAAACAUAAUUCCGCGAUUUACUAAAUUUAAAACUGCUCUUAAACCGUAACAAAUUAGAGAAAAUAAUAGAUAUGAAAAAUAUGCACCUCGAUGAUAUCUUUCCAACAGCGUAUCAUUUGCUUCAUUCCGACAAGGGGUUUAGGAAAAAUCACGAAAUUACGCAUGCUGCCGCUCGUCGUCCGCCGCACCAUUUUUGAAACUGCUCUUAAACCGCGAGGAAUCUCGAAAAGUGUUCAACAUGGCGAAGUUGGGCCUAAUCCAUAGCUUUCCAACAGUAUAUUAUACGCCUCGUUUUGAUAAACGUUUAAAAAACUAGAGCGAAAUCAGUACCGGAAAAACACUGCGUGCAGUUUUUUUCCGACAAGAAAUUCACUAAUCUGUAUUGCAGUGCCCUUGCUACAGAAAAUACAGCACUGCAUUUUAUAUAGCAAGGGAACAUCUAGGCUAUUCUGUUUCGCGUAACAGAAUAUUAUUAUGUUACCCUACUUGAACUGACGGUUUCAGGCGGCUGUACUGAUGAUUUUCAUCACGUCGAAAUGAUCAUCUUUUCGUCGAAAUGGGGCGUGUAAUAUAUCAUUGGAAAGCUCUUGACAUGUACAUUACAAAUAUACUAGAUUUUUUUUGUAAAAUCAUCAUGGUUUAAGAGCAGUUUAAAAAAACAUUUUUUCAAAACCGAAAACGUGAAUCGUAUUUUGGACUUAAUUUUCAAACAGUUUGUAGGAAUUGAGCAAAUAAGACGGCGUUAGAUAGAUGGUGAAAAUCUGCUUCUUCCAUAUAUCUAACGUUUUUUCAAAUUCGGUAUGAUUGAAAAGUAAUUUGGAAAAUGGUGAAAUUCUGGGCGAAACGUAUUUUCGCAUUUUUUGCAAAUGGUUUGUUGGAUCGACGCAAAUGAUACGGUGUUGGAAAGCUAUGGAAAAUGCGCAACUUUUUCGUAUAGAAAUGUUUUUAUAGUUCCUUACGGUUUAAACUCGAAUUCAAAUACGGUCAAAUUUGAUUUCGAACGCGGUUUUUUUUAAAAAGUUUGUCGAAAUGGGGCAAAUAAUAUACCAUUGGAUAGCUAUUGAAAAUGCAAAACUUAAUCAUGUUGAACGUUUUCUCUACUUCGCAACCGUUUAAGAGUAAUUUUGAAUAAGGUGAAACUUAUUGUGUUGUUUUUCUGUCUAAAAAAUAGAGUAUUCGUACUGAUCUAUGUCUGUGUUUGUACUAAGGUAUUUUUCACAGAGUAAUGUUGAAUGGUUCUGAAAGAGUACUCGAACUUAUGUGCGUCUUGGUUUGUACUAAGCAUGCUUUCACAUACUAGAUUUUACUCUAUUUUCGAUAUGGUUUUCCUCGUAACUUUUCAACGGUUUACGAUCUUAUGGGACAGUUUUCCUCGUAACUUCUCAACGGUUUACGAUCUCAUAGUCCCCGAACUUGCAUGGUUUAUAUCGUUGAACUGAAUGAUAUAUUUUUUAAAUUUUUUUUAGCUCAGUAGUUUUUGCAACGAUGUUUUGGACUUCUCUCGUUUUGCGACUUGAACUUUUACCAUUUGAAUUUUCAUUGGGUUUGUUUUCGUUUGAGCUUUUUUCCCAAACUUAUCUGGGACGUUGUGUUGAACUUAUAACUUUUUAAAUUGUGAACUUGUUAUGUUUUUACAAUACCAAAGCUAGUAAAUAGUAGGAGAUUCACCCAACAAAGGGGCUAAUUACAUAAAGCAGGCACAGUAAUACCGCGGUCAAAUCGGUAGCUAGCAGCAACAGCAGUGAUUACCAACACGUACACAUGAACUGGUAACAAACUUGCACACAAUCUGACUAACAAAAAGAACACAAUACACAUGAACUGAUAAUCCGCACGGCUAAUGGCAGAGCUUUGUUGCACCUAGGUCCACCCGUUUACUGAUAGUAGAACUUCUCAGUUGUAUUAAUUCAGUCUGAUGUUUAAAUUUUCACCAUUUUGUCCUACAUAUUAGAAUACUAAGAACAUAUAUUUACUGAAGAUCCUACCAAUACAGAGUUACAGAAUAAAUUCUUUGUCCAAUGACAAUGUAAGAGUCACGGCCAGUAAUCACAAACAACACUAUCUCGACCGCCGGGCAUGUGUGUGCGGCAAGGGGAUGCAGAUACUCCGAUGAUAGAUGUGUUGAGACAACAAGUUCAUGCAGGAGACCUUGAACUACUCGCCUGUUGCCAUUGAUGGCUAUGGAUCAUGCAAAAUCCUGACCAAAAGAUCACAUUAUUUUCACGAAACUAAUCUCUUGAACUUGCUCCACGACAAUCUUUGAACCUCCUACAAGAACAAUCAUUAUUUUAAAGUUCACAUGAAUACCUACAAGCUAUGAUCACAAACAUUCACAAAACAUUCUUUUAAAGAGUUAUGCCGCAUUAAUUAGAACCAGAAAAAUAGGGUGAAACUAUGGCAUCUACACUACACAUCAUCUAGACUGUAGCAACAACUGUUUUGCAUGAUCAUUGGCAUUUGGAGUAGCAUACAACAACUGGACGGAGAAGGGAGAAAGAGUUGGACUGGUGUGAACCCUGUACCUAGACAGGGACCGGAGGAAGUAAUGCAUGGGGCGGCGGGGGCUGUCUGUAGUCCAACCUCCCCUGUGCCGCAGUUCAGAGAGAAACAAAUUAGUAAGAGAAAAGAGCAGUAGAGAGGAAAGAGAUACGGCAGAUGCAUUGACUACUGCUGUUCUUUUUGUUGAAGGGCAGAUGAAGAAACUCCCGUAGGUCGCAGCUGAAGAAUUACAGUGGCUUCAUAACAAGUUUAACAACACAACAUUUUGGCAGCAAGUACGUGCAGGUAGAGGUCAUGCCAUGGAUUGGAUGGAAACUCGAUGCAUGAGCUGACCAUAAACCAAGAAAAGAGCUACAACUUUUUAAUAAAUCAUAUCUUUAAAUAUACUUGUGCGAAUAUCCCUUUCCAGAACUAACCACCUCAGACAAAUACAUGCACAAGCUUACCUUCAUUUUAACCAUGGUAUUUUUCAGCAAAAAAAUGGUGUGCAUUAGCUCCACAUAAACAUGCGGCUUCCUGCAUUUUCCAUCUUUAUGCGUCAAAUGCAGUGUGCAUUAGUAGUAGCAAGUGCCUCAGCAUGGUGCCCUGGUCAGGGACGAUGCCGCUGGCGACGCACCACGGACGUAGAUAUAGAUGGACAACAGCUAGGCAGAAUGUAGAUAGCUCGUCACUUUGGCAUCAUUGCAGCCGACAUCCUUGUGGCCGCGCACGAGAUCACUACAACAUUAGCAUGGACUCGCUACAGCAUUAGCAUGUCCAUGUUGUUGAACUGAUGAGAUUUUUUCAUUGCACUGUUGUAACAUAAGGACUAGAACAACUAUCAAUAUAAAUUGAUGCUUUUUUUGUAGGUUUCUGAGAAUUAUAAUUUCUGUUUUGUAAAUAUAUAAAAAAAUUAAAUAGGUGUACUGCACCAUUACAUAAGUUUGUAAUGAACAUGUCCAUAAUAAUUACUAUAACUUUUAUUUGACAACAGAGAUUUUUUUUAAAAAAAAUUGAUGAUUGUUUGGGCUAGACAUACCAAAACAAACACUUUAGGAAAGAAGAGUCUGAACUUCUUGUGCAUUUUCCCAUUGAUCUUCACUGAACUAAAAUUAGAAUUUGAACUCCAGCUUUCUUUUAAUAGAACAUGGUAAAUCCAUGUUGUCUGUUUUUUAACCAGAAAACUACGCAAGAUUGCUCGCUAAAGGCCACAUAUUUUUUUCAUAUAGUAAGACAAGUGAAAGAUAAUAUAUAACAACCCAUAGGAGAAAGAAUUAGCAAAACUGAAACAAAAACAUAUGUUACCAGAACUGAAAGCAAUGGUUUUUCAAACCUUUGGGUGAGAGCAUGGUGCUCUAAUACGAUUUUGCAUAUAUCUAAAACUCCACGGGUGACCUGAACUGAUGCAUAACAGUAUGAGUGCAAAAUUCUUGUAAGCAUAAGAAAAUACAUAGAGUGC
This 53008-nucleotide long non-coding RNA is filed under the name Triticum aestivum (bread wheat). Its description in RNAcentral is "long non-coding RNA (TAES_LNC010385)". The record is from RNAcentral. Lineage: Eukaryota; Viridiplantae; Streptophyta; Magnoliopsida; Poales; Poaceae.